CAACUUUCAAAAUCUUCAGUGAUUGACUUUGGCAUCAAAUUCUCAGCAACAUCAGCAGGUGUCAUAUUAGUCUCUCCCAACAACUUUUCAAUAAUUGGAAACAAAUCAUCAUGAGUCUCAACAUCUAAGUAGUUUCUUGCAAGAACCUUGAAAGCUUGAUAGCUACAAUAAGACAUUUCUAUAUGCUUAUCCAUUCUUCCCCUCCUUAUAAGAGCAGGAUCAAGUUUGUCCACAAAAUUUGUUGUGAAAAUUAUUAUCCUCUCUGAUCCACAUGCUGACCAAAUUCCAUCAAUGAAAUUCAACAAACCAGAAAGAGUUACCUUACUUUCAUUUUUCUCUUCUUCUUCAGCUUUCUUAAUAGGAUCCUUCAUUUCAUCAUUCUCAUCAUCAUCUUUCUUUUUUUUCUUCUUCCUUUGCCCAGUGAGAUCGAGAGAACAAUCAAUAUCUUCGAUAACUAUAAUCGAUUUACUUGACGUUUCAAUCAAAAGUCUCUUCAACUCAUUGUUAUCCUUAACAGUUGUUAAUUCAAGAUCAUACACAUCAUAGUUCAUGUAAUUUGCUAUAGCUGAUAUCAUAGUAGAUUUUCCAGUUCCUGGAGGACCAUAAAGUAGAUAACCACGUUUCCAAGCCUUUCCAACUUUAGCAUAAUACUCUUUACCUUUCUUGAACUUAAGAAGAUCAUUUAAAAUCUCUUGUUUCUUUUCUGGUUCCAUAGCUAGGGUUCCAAAUCUUGCAGGAUGCUCAAAAGUUGUGUGAUUCCACUUUUUGCUUCUAUACCCCCACCAAUUACUACUAGGGUUAUUUGUGUAAAGCUUUAGUUGCCUAUUCUUGCUCAUAAUAGAUUUUCCUUCAUCCAACACAUGUUGAAUGUAAGAGGUAGUGAUGACUUCACGAUGCUUUUUAUGGAAGGUUAGGGUUAAGAAUCUUUUUUCAUCUGAAGUAGGAUAGUAAGAAAAUGAUUGUGAUUUUGAGGUGGUGUAAUUAGCAGUCCACCAAACUUUGACUCCAUUGAACUCAUCUAUGAUUUCUUCAUUAUCAUCCAUGCUUAGGACAAGUGGGUUUUGGCUAUCUUUGACAACUUCAGCUUUAAGUCUUCUAGCUCUUUGGGAUGAGUUAUCACUAAGAUAUGUUUGGAUGAUUUUGUAAGUUUCACUUUGUUUGAGACGUUCACCGGAUAAUUCAUGAAACUUUAUAUGGAUGUAUGGAUACAUAUAGUUUGUGAAUUUGUUUGUGUAUUUUAGAAAAUAUACACGAAGAUUAGGUGGGAAAAAUUUGUCAAACAUGGCAUAUACAAACAUUAUGCUAGCCAUGAUUGAACCUAGUUGUGACCAUAGUUCCCCAAUUUCCAUCUUCAUACUUUGAAAUGUUUAAAGGUAAGAGAAAUAUUUGGUUGUUUUUUUCUUUCUAACUUUUGUGUGGUGUAUGAAGUAAAAGGGUGUGGUAUUUAUAAGGAGUAUAAUAAGAGUGUUUCAUCACGUGUUCUUCCACAUGGAAAGUAGCAAGUAGGUUUCUUUAUAUUUUCUUGUGAGUUUCUUGGUGAUUACGUUUUACUAGAUGACACAAGAGUUGGUAAAUUCAUUCAUGGGUGUGUUGAAUAUUUUGGUAGUUGAACAUUAUUAUUUGGACCACUCAUAUGUGAUCUUGCACUAUGAUUACGUGUGAACUUUAGAAUUUGGGUUGAUGCAAAUUCAUUUUUUGAUUAAGGUCAUAUCACAUCUAGCUAAUAUGUGAUUUUUUUGAGACGGCCAAAAAUCUAAAAAGUGAUCCAAUAAUAUGUGAUUUAGUGGAUAUUGAAUAUGUUUUAAUUCUAUUUUGAAAGUUGAUUUGAAUAUAAUUUAUCACAAGACAGCUUGUGAAAUGACUUCCACAAAUAUAAUAAUUUUUUUUAUGUCAUAUGACAUCGAUCCAAUGCAUUAUGCACUAGCAAUACUUGACUAUAAUAAUUCUUUAACUCAAAUUAAAUUGCACUAGUAAGGUUUUCUCAUUGACUUCUACUUGACUAUAAACCAAUAUGACAAAAGGGAAGGUUGGGCCAAUUGGCUAUUUCAUAAAAGCGUGGUUUCAAACUAAUAUGACCAUUGCAUAUUUAAAGGGUCCUCAUUUAAUAUCAAUAAAGAUAGGUAGACACCUGUAUAUUCUUUUGUAUUAUUUUGGAAAAUUUAAGUUAAUCAAAUAUAUGGUCUGCGGGAUCACAUUUUUUUCAGUUGUGUAACCACUAUUUUUUUAGUAUUUAAAAGCUGAAAAAUAUGGUCAUGCAACUAAAAUACGCGUGACCAUUAUUUUUCCACUUAGCUAACUAAAUAAAUUAUGGAAAAAUAGUGGUUACACAACUAAAAAAAUGUGGUCACACAGAUGGUAUAUUUGGUUAACUUAAAUUUUUCAGAGUGGUACAAAUUGAUAUACACAUUAAGGCUGUCUACCUAUCAUUGCUCUUUAAUGUAGACUAUCCCAUCAAAUUUGAUACCAAGGCGAAUCAAACAUAAAAUCUUGAUACAUUGAUGUGUUGCCACUCUCUUAAUCUUAAAUUCUGCCACGAAUUUCCAAGAUCCGACUCACCUAAACUUAAUUUAUAUAACAAAAUAGAGGCGUUCAAGCUCCUCUCCUUUAUUAGUAUUUUCUUUAUGUUUUCUCUAUGCAUAUCGCUUUCCUAUAUGCAAACAACACGAGAAGAUGAUCCAAUUUUAAAAACACUCCAUAUAUAUUUUAACAAUAUUUGAAGUUGACAAUAAAAUGGCAAAGGAGUUCUAUUAUUUGCGUGAUGCAAAGGGGGGAAGAAUCUCACCCAAACAAAUUAUCGUAAUUUUAAAUAUUAUUUGAUUCAUAAUCAAACAAAAAAGUUGAUUAUUUGAAUUUUUCAUGCUUUAUUUCUUUAUUGUAAUAAAAGGGAAGAAAAAGGAGAACGAGGCCUAAAUAAAUAAAUAAAAAAUAGGGCCCACAUUUUGGACUUGUUUGAUUAAUGACUCAUGAUUUACUACUUUCAUGAUAAUAAAAACUUGAGCUGAACAAGACUAACGUUAAGGAGGAAAGUUCACAGAAGACUUGACCAUGACAUUUAUUUUGCAUGUUCCUCUUGGUGGAUGGUUAAUUUGACCCCAUAUGUCCUUUCUUUUAGGAAUGGGAUGGAACCAGCGUUAAGGAAAGUUCACAUAAGACAUGUAUUUUUUUUUAGUGGGGCAAUGUUAAUUUGUAGAGAAAAAUAUAGAAAAUUAGGGGGACAAGAUUACUUGAUGGCCAAGAUUUAAGUUACCAAAUUUGUGAUGAAAAUUCAACACACCAUGCACUAGAGAAUCCAAGAAACACUUGCACAUGUGCGGCAGAUCCAGGAAUUUUAUAGAGUCUGAGCAAAAAAUUUAUUACAAGACGUUACUUCCUUCCUGCGAAUAAUUUCACAUUUCCUGCAGAUAAUUUCACAUUUCCUGUCGAUAUACUUUUCCUGCGGAUCCUAAAAUCCUAUGGUAUUACCUCACCUGGGAACCUAAAUCCUUGACAAAAUCUGCAGGAAAUGUAUUUCCUGCGGAAUUUACACGAAAAUCCGCAGAUCAAUCCGCAGAAAAAGCUAAAAGUUCUAGGAAUGGUUGGGUUUGCUACAAAGAAAGUUGGAGCUAAACCUGAACUAGUGCCCGAGUUAGCUGGGGGUGGCUCCGCCCCUGUGUACUCUAAGUCCCAACAUAGUGUGAAACAAACCCAAGAAAAUGCACAUACCUACCCUCUAAAGCUACAAUAAAUCACAUGCAGAAGAAUUUAUUGUGCUAAUAUGGUGGCCCAUCAAUGUUGGCUAAGAAAACACUCUACCUUCAACAUCAAGCGCAACAAAUUACCCAAAGUUAAUUUGACGACACUAGACUAGGAGAUAUACUUCUCAUAGAAGGCUCUAAAUUGAGAAUUGGUCAAACUAAACGCAAACAAAAUGAAUUCCAAUUUACCCUUGUCAAAAACUCGCAUUCCUACGGUAACCACAUCAAUGACGGUUUGAUCAAGAUCAAAUUAUACAUAUUUAAAGGUUGGAGGAUCUAAGUUUUAAAAAGUCAAAAUCAAUUUAAAAUAUCCAUUAUCGAUUCUCGAUCCAACAAUGUCUAACGUUGUGUUGCAUGUGUGUGAGGCUCUUAGGACCACAUGAAAUCUAAUUUCAAUAAAAACGUGGUUCCAAAAACAAAUCAGAGACUCUCGAUAGGUAAAAAAACAAAAUUACCAUAAGAGAACUGUAUCUAAAGUAUGAGUUAUCAAUAAAAAGUACUUAAUAAUUAGGAAUAUGUGCUAUUAAUUUGUUCUGGAUCAACAUAAAACCCAACAAGAAAGGCCCAAUAAGCCAAGACCGAUUUCGCUCCGGGUCAAGUAUAGCAAAGGUGCACACGAGGCUCUGUGCGGCUUACCACAUAGGAGCACACCUAGAGUUAAUAUCCGUAAUUGAAGCCAUCCUUAACGAGUUAUGUACAUCACGCCACAAAUCAGGGAGACAAUCAUCAACCUCCUCGCCUAUAUAAGCGCAACUCAGUGUCACACUCAAGGUACUGUUCAUUCACCACCUUUUCGCACAAAUCCACCUCUUUUUGAUACUUACUUGAGCGUUGUACUACUAGCAUGUCUACAAGCACCAUUCUCCUCUGCCAUAGAAGAUUGCUUUGCUCCAUGCGCACCACCGCAACAACAACUAUUUCUAUAAGAGAACCACCACUACAUCUCCUUGCUAUGCACCGGACAUACCAUAAUUUUUUUUUUUACCAAUGUUAUAAAUUAAAUACUAUAGAAGCUGGAAUCUAUUAAAUAUGAUAGUUUAAUAAGCGACACAACUUGGUUUUAGGCCCCGUUUGGAUUGGCUUAUUUUGAGCUUAUGUGGGCUUAUCUACUCCCAUAAGCCUUUUUAAAGGUGUUUGGGUAAAUAAAUAAAAAUAGCUUAUCAUAGUUUCAUGAGCUGCUCAUGCCAUAUUUUAAUAAGCCUAAAUUUUCAGCUUACCCUCUGGCUUAACAAGGAGCUUAUGAAUUUAUGUAACCUCCUUCGAUUCUCUCUGGAGCCACUUUUUCAAAACAUAUAUUUUAAUUAUAAUUUUUUUUGAAGGAAUAUUUUAAUUAUAAUGUUAGUUAUCUUUGGCGGUGCAUCAAUAACAAAAUUGCUAUAUACUUAUCUUAUUAAAGUAACAAACAUAACUAAGAUUUUUUUUUUUUUUUAAGAAGAUUUUUAUUAUUUUUUGUGUUACGUAACAAAAUGAAACUGAAUAAAAAAACAAAUUUAACUUGUCUUUUUUGGGUAAAAAACUGCACACUAAUAUCAAUAUAUAUGAUAUGUUUAUUUACACCUCUAAUGUUAAUUUUGUCUUAUAUGAAUAUUGAUAUUUUUUUUAGGACAAAUAUUGAUUAUACUAUAUAUAUAUAUAUAUAUAUAUAUAUAUAUAUAUAUAUAUAUAUAUAUAUAUAUAAUUAUAAUUAAUAUGUUAUAAUAUUGUUUUUUUACGCCUUGAUUAAUUUUAUCAAAAAAAAUCUUGAUAAUUGUGGUUCAAUUCUUUGAUUUUUUUGUUAAAUUAAAAAUAUUUAAAAUUUCGAUAAUUGCUUAUGUAAUGUCACAUCCAAACACUUCAAUUUAUGUAAGUACUUUUUAGUGUACAUAUCCAAACAUAAAUAGCUUAUCAAGUAUAAGAGCUUAUGAUAUAAGUUCUAAUGUUAUAAACACUAAUGCUAUAAACAUCUAUAUAAGCUGUUUAUCCAAACGGGGUCUUAGUUUUAAGGAAAACUUGGUUCUUUACAAGCCAAUUAGUCUUUAUAUAACUCGUUCUUAUAUAGCCUUUGAUAUAGUGUUCUAUUUACGCGACCAUUCUUUGAUAAAUACUUCAUCGUUCAUUCAAAUAAUAUUGACCAAAUUAUACUCUUCUUUCAUAAAGAGAAGCUUGAAUCACGCCUCCAUUCCUCGAGAAUUAAAACCUUACUCUAAAUAUUAGGAUUAGGCCUACCUCAGCCCUAUAAAACUAGAGUGUAAGGCGAUGACUACCUCUAACUUAUGGACAUAUGUUCAUGCCAUUUCUUAGAAUAUCCGUGUUGAUUCGGAGAAGGCUGAAGAAUUACAGGAACUUUUAACACAAGUUUCACCGAAGGUAUGUGAUACCAUUCUGUUGGAUAUGAAAGAAAUACAAAAGUUUUACGGUAAAGUCUUGUUAUUCGAUAUGUUGCUUAGCAUGAGGAAUGAAGUCGUGUUUAACAACAACUUUCAAGAUACACACUGACAUAAUUGUUUUUAGGAGAAUGCUAAUGAGUGCCUUUGGAGCAUUGGUUAAGUUCUUAAAAUUAGUAAGUUUGCAUCAAAAAGUGGUGUAGUUAUUGCAAAACAAAAGUAAAAAUUUAUAUUUUCAAGACAAAGUUUCUACUAAUGGAUUCCUUAACCAAUGUCCUUAGAGCACUGGUUACCAAAACCUUUUUUAUUUUAUAAAAUUAUAGGGUUGACUUGUUAAAGCGACCCUUAAAAAAAAGAUCACCUUAGCAAGCCGACCCUAUGAUAUAAGACAUUAAAUCGAUGUAUGAAAAAUUAUUUUUGUUUGGCCUUUUUUUUGUACAAAUUUUUGUUUGGCUUUCUAUUAGGUGGAAUUUGGAUGCAUUGGAAAACUUUAUUGCUCUUAACACCUUGGUAAUUGGUAAAAGAUAAAUGUGCAUAGAAAUUGCUUCAUUUAGUGUCGUUAGCUACAUUAUGAAGUACUAUUUGGUUGAUGAGAAAUGAUUUUCUUUUCAAUAGAAAUGUGGCAAAUAUGACUGGAAUAUUUGAUAAAAUUUAACGGUUGUUUCGGUAGGGUUAGAAUCCUAACUCGUUUCGGUAUGUGUGGAAGAUAGGCAAAACAAUUUGAUUUUUAUAUCCGUGGAAUAGCCCACUAUCAUACAUUAAAAAUAGGCUAAAUAUCACUUUUGGUCCUUUUAAUUUGAAAGAAUUCUCAAGUUAGUCGUUUAAGUUUCAAAAGUUUCAAUUAGGUCCUUUUAAUUUGACAGAAUUCUCAAGUUAGUCCUUUAAAUUUCAAAUAGGUUUUUUUAGUUGAUAAACUAUUUCAUUGUUACCCCUUCUAUCAGUCUAAUUUUAACUGAUGCUGAUGUAGCCGUUAAGUUGUUGACUUGGAUAAAAAUGCUAAGCUCCAGGGUGUCAAAACGCUACAUUUAAUGGUCACAAAUGAUCAUUUAUAGUGCUGGAACGAUCAUUUGUUACCAUUAAACGUAACGUUCUAACACCCUGAAGCUUUUAAAAAACAGCGUUUUGAUCCAAAUCAACCACUUAACGGCUACAUCAAUAUCAAUUAAUUAUUAACUAACAACAGGUAUAACGGUGAAAUAGUUUAUCAACUAAAAUGACCUAUUUGAAACUUAAAUGAUUAACUUGAGAAUUCUGUUAAACUAAAAGGAUCUAUUCGAAACUUUUGAAACUUAAAUGACUAACUUGAGAAUUAUGUUAAACUAAAAGGACCAAACGUGAUAUUUAGCCUUAAAAAUAUGAUUUUUUAAAGUGUAUUGGGUUUUUUUUUUUUAAAGAAAGUGUAAUGGGUUUUUAAUACCCUUGUAUUCAUGUUAAUGCAUUUGCUUAUAAAAAAAGUCGCUUAUCAGUAGAUCACACUUAAUUUUCAGUUCAUGAUUGAUGAUGAAAUCACAUAUUAGAUGUAAUGUAACUUUAAAUAAAAAAUUAGUUAGUCUAAAAUCAAAUUCCAAAUAUCGCACUCUAUCACUUUAAAAAGGAAAAUUAAAAAAAUAUCAUAGAAAUUGUUAGUAUGUCAUAAAUAAUAAUUUUUUCAUAAAGAAUGAUGCAAGGAUGAAGGAUAGUGCGAUUGAAAACGAUAUAUUUUGUCUUACUGGGAAAAAUAUUUAGCCGGCAUUCCAAAUAAAUAAUGUUCAAAUACCAUUUUUCGUUUUUAUAUAUUUUCUUUGGUUAUGUGAAUUUUUGUUUCUUUUGUCGUUAUUUGUUAAUCUAACCACUCUUUGAUGAGUUCAAUUCUCACUGUUUUUGUGAACUUUGAGGCAUGCUUUAUGCUGGUGAGUCUUGAAGUCAAGAGAAACUCUUGCAUGAUCACAACCCUAAAUUGAAAAUAAGCUUAAUAGCAGUUUUCGCUCUCCAACUUUUACAAAGUUGCGAUUUUGGUCCCCUAAAAAAAAAAAAUACAAAACCGUCCCCUAAGUUUUGCAAUUGUAGCAGUUUUGGCCCCCCAAUGUCAAUUUUUGGUAAAAUAAAUAAAAAAAAAAACACGUGGUACCUCACUUAGGGUGCCUUAGGGUGCCACGUCAACGUAGAGCGAGUCAAAAUUGGUUUUGCGGGCCAAAACUGCCACAAAUGCAAAACUUAUGGGACUGUUUUGUAGUUUUUUUUUUCUUCUUAGGAGGUAAAAGCGCAAUUUUGAAAAAGUUAGGGGUCUAAAACUGCUAUUAAGCCUUAAAAAUAUUUGAGUGCAUACACGCAAACGACAUAAAUUAAAAGAGAAAUAAACCAAUCACACCAUUUUUUACUUUUAUUUUUAAAUUUUUCUUAUUCUAGUGUGUGUGCCUAAGCAUAUUUUAUUUAUGUUUGUAACCAAUUUAGACUUUCUUUUAUUAAAAAGAAAAAUUAACUACUCUUGUGUCUCAUAGUAAAACAUGGCCCCCAAGAAACUCACAAGAAAACAAAGAGAACCUACAUAGUCUUUUCCAAGUUGUGAAAGAAGAACACUUGAAAACACUCUUAAGUAUCAUACUGCUUAUAAAUACCACACACCUAUUGAGUUUAUACAACACAAAAGUUAGGAUCAUAACCAUAUACAUUACCUAACAUUUAAACAUUUCGUAUCAUAAGAGAUGGGAAUUAGGGAAAUAUGGUCAAACCUAGGCUCAAUAAUGGCUAGCAUAAUGUUUGUAUAUGCCAUGUAUGAGAAAUUCUUCCCACCAGCACUUCGUAGAUAUCUUCGAAAAUACACUCACAAAUUCACCAACUUCAUGUACCCUUACAUCAAAAUAACCUUCUAUGAGAAAUCAGGAGAUAAUCUCAAACACAACAAAACAUACACAACCAUCCAAACAUAUCUUAGUGCUAACUCUUCACAAAGAGCUAGAAGACUUAAAGCUGAAGUUAUCAAAGAUAGCCAAAAUCCACUUGUUCUAAGCAUGGAUGACAACCAAGAGAUCACAGAUGAGUUCAAUGGUGUCAAAGUUUGGUGGUCAGCAAAUCACAUCACCUCAAGAACACAAUCAUUUUCAAUAUACCCUAGUUCAGAUGAGAAAAGAUUCUUAACCCUAACUUUCCAUAAAAGGCAUCGUGAACUCAUCACUACCUCUUACAUACAACAUGUUUUGGAACAAGGAAAGGCUAUAACAAUGAAGAAUAGGCAGUUGAAGAUUUACACUAACAAUCCAAGUAAUGAUUGGUUUAGGUAUAGAAGCACAAAGUGGAGUCACACAACUUUUGAGCACCCGGCAAGUUUUGAAACACUUGCUUUGGAACCAAAAAAGAAAGAAGAGAUUCUAAAUGAUCUUGUUAAAUUCAAGAAAGGGAAAGAGUAUUAUGCUAAAGUUGGAAAAGCUUGGAAACGUGGUUAUCUACUUUUUGGUCCUCCAGGAACCGGUAAAUCUACCAUGAUAUCGGCUAUUGCUAAUUUCAUGAACUAUGAUGUGUAUGAUCUUGAAUUAACAAUUGUCAAGGAUAACAAUGAGUUGAAAAGACUUUUGAUUGAGACGUCGAGUAAAUCGAUUAUUGUUAUUGAAGAUAUUGAUUGUUCUCUCGAUCUCACCGGGCAAAGGAAGAAGAAAAAAGAGAAAGAUGAUGUUGAGAAUGAUGAAAAGAAGGAUCCUAUAAAGAAAGCUGAAAAAGAAGAGAAAAAUGAAAGUAAGGUAACUCUUUCGGGUUUGUUGAAUUUUAUUGAUGGAAUUUGGUCAGCAUGUGGAUCAGAGAGGAUCAUAAUUUUCACAACUAAUUUUGUGGAUAAACUUGAUCCUGCUCUUAUAAGGAGAGGAAGAAUGGAUAAGCAUAUAGAAAUGUCUUAUUGUAGCUAUCAAGCUUUUAAGGUUCUUGCAAGAAACUACUUAGAUGUUGAGUUUCAUGAUGAUUUAUUUCCAAUUAUUGAAAAGUUGUUGGAAGAGACUAAUAUGACACCUGCUGAUGUUGCUGAAAAUUUGAUGCCAAAGUCAAUCACUGAAGAUUUUGAAAGUUGCUUGAAGAAUUUGAUUCAAUCUCUUGAGAUUGCAAAGAAAAAGGAUGAGGAGGAAGCAAAGAAAAAGAUAGAGGAUGAGGAAGUAAAGCUCAAGGCAGAGAAAGAGAAACUAGAAUUGGCUCAAGAGGAAGAAAAGGUUAAGGCUGAUGAAAAGUUAGAGGAAAAUGUGAAGGAGAAUGGUGUGAAAGAGAAUGGCGUCAUCCAUUGAUUUGGAUUAGAUUAAUUUCAGUAUUUAAGUCAAUUUAGUGUAUUCAGUAGUCUAAAUAAUAUUUUGAACCUUUUAUAUAAAAGCAUGGUUAAGUAUUAUUAUGUAUAUGUUCAUAUUUUUUGUUUUAAUCAAGUAAAUAAAAAGGCUAGAGAGGAGGAGGAAGCAAAACUAAUGAAAGAGAAAGGUAAACAAGAAAAUGCUCAAGAGGAAGAAAAUGUGAAGGCUAAUGAAAAUUCUAAGGAGAAUGGUUUCAUCCAUUAACUUGGAUUGGAUUAGUUUCUGUAAUAUUAAUAAUAUUUUUAAACUUUAUAUUAAAUCCUUAAUAAUGUAUUAUGUUGUUCCUCUACAAAAAUAAAAAAAGUAUUAUGCUGUUCAUGUUGGUUGCUUUUGAUUGUUAACGGCCAUGUUUAGGUGUUUGCAAGGGGAAAUUAGUAAAUUUUUCUGCACAUUUUAGGGCAAAUUUGUUGUUGUGCACAAUUGUGAGUUAUAUGUUUCACAUCGGAUAAAAUAAUAAAAGUUGAACACCUUAUAAGUAAGAGGACCCCAUAAACUCAUUGCCUUAAGGUUUUGGGUAAGAGUGUGGUAUCUCUCUUGCUUGAGUGGUUGUUCUAGCCUCGAUGUGGACGGUCCCCCUAACUCCCCUCAUGAUCCAACAAAAUCACAUCAAAGAUUAUGUAUAUUAGGAUUAGGAUAGGAUAGGAUAGGAUAGGAAUGGAUUAGGAUAGGAUAGGAUAGAAUUAUUUCUAAACUUUCUUUUUUGUUUACAAAAUAAAAAAUACCUCACUUUCAAAUUAAACAUCAAGAUAGUUCCACGUCUAAAAUUUCUACCACGUCUAGUUCAAGAUAUCAAGGAUAUAAUACCUUCAACCUACAACAAAUUUCAUUAAUUUGUUUUUAAGAAAAUGAAAUUGAUUAAAAAAAAUCAGAAAGGAAACAUUUUAAAAAAAUAAUAUUUACUUUUCUGCGUGAAAGAUCAAAUGGGCUAAUAAUUAGAAUGUGAAUAAAUUUGAGGUGUAUUGUGUGAUUAAGUGGAAUCUAAUUUAGAGUUUUAGAUGAGUAGUAUGAAUAUUUAAAAAAUGUAGUUGAGUGGUUUAAAUAAUUGGGAAGUGUGAAGUAAUAUAAUGUAUUAUGUGAAACUCAUUUAUACCACCCAUAUCGGUGGCAUGAUGUGGUUGCUAUGGGCUAUAUAUAAUGGCCAUACUUGGUGAAAGCUAUUGUGAGAUGGAUAACUCUACUCUACCGAUCUUUGGUAUAUGUACAAACAAAAAAUUUGCCUAAUAUUAUAUUACUUGUUUACGCAAAUUUGACAUUAAUUGUUUAAUUUAUACUCUAGCGAUGUUACCCGAUAGAAGAAUACAAAUGCUAAAGGAUGAUUCUGAUGUUAACAUUCUAUCAUCUAAUAUUUAAGCAUGCCAACUCUUAUGUUUUUUUAAUGAAAGUUGAGCAUGCUAACUUUUCUUAUUUUAGGAUUACAUUUCAUCCCGUUUCAACUACAAAAACAUCAGAAAAGUUCAUCAAUUGAGAGUAAAACCACAGAUAACAUAAAGCACGCAUGGAAACAAUUAGGGUCACUUAUAUAGCCACAAUCAUGUUCAUAUAUGCCAUGUUUAAGAAGUUAUUUCCUCGUUCCUCCUGCUCUAGUUACAUUAUAAAAAGUCUGAAAUCAACCAAAAGAGAAAACAUACUAAGACGGAAGCUUAACAUUUUCAAUACGCGAUUAAGCCUCCAAAAAUGAUAAUCAAAAUUCAAAGCAACAUAUAUUAAUUUCAACCAUAAAAUAAAAAAGACGGAGGCUUAACAUUUUCAAUCAAAGCUUACAAAUGCUUCUCCUUGUCCUGAAAAAAUCAUUUAUUCCUCACUUAGUGAAUGACCCAAAUCACGAAAAGUCAAAUAAUAUUAAGAGCCGAACAUUUUUAGAAUAACCCCCUAACCCACCAAACUAACCGAGGUAAUCCAAUAAAUUGCCUUGAGAUGUCAUUGAGAAACCUAACCAACUUGAAAUUAGAGGCAAGAUUCUACCAUACAAAUCACAUUUCACAAAUAAGUGAUCCAUGUCUUCAUUCAAACCAUAAUUUACCGGAUAAUAAUCUACCACCUAUGGAAAUUAUCCUUUGUUGGAACACGGUUAAGAAGCAAACACCAAACAAAAAUAUUAAUUUAGUGGAACUGUUUUUAACCACAAAACAUGAUUGUUAUCCAGAUAGGUGUUGUCUUCCACUUCAGUCAAGUUGUUAUAAACACUACCUACCGUAUAACAUUGGGAGGAAUGUAACUUCCAAACCCAUCGGUCCCACACCUUAACCAACAAAACAACUUAAGAUAAUCGCUCAACGCACUCCCCCACCAACUUCUCAUCUCAAGCAAACAAUCUCCUUCGCCACUUCCUCGUCUCACCGUUCACUCCCCAGCCUAAAGCAUUCAUAUCUGCUACAUCAUCAUUUUGUUUUCUGCUAAGUCAUAAAGCCUACUAUAUCUAAUGAUGAUAUGCUGUCAUUAUGUAAUUUUUAGGACUUAUUUUGACAGUUUGAUAGAGUUCUAAGGCAAUAUGAGGUAACCAGGGGUGUGAAAAGCUGAAAUUCUAAAAGUGCUGAAAAUAGGCAAUCGUGGCGCGAUUUUAUGUAGCAUGGCACGAUUUUGUGACCAGAGUGAAGGUUUGGUUCUGCCACUAAAAUCGUGGUACAAUUUCUGGUGGCGUGGCGCGAUUUUGCAGAAUCGUGUCUCGAUUUUGGGUGCAAAAAAUAUUUCCUAUUUUAGUUGAAGUCAGUGCUAGAAACAAGGGUUACGAUUUUGGAGAGCAAAAGUGAGAUUUUGAGACCUGAAGACUUCUAGGGGGCGACUUCAUCAACCUUUUAUCGGUUCAUGUAUGUUUUAAUUCUUAUAUUGAUUAUGCUAUUUGUAAACUCAAUUAUGAGUAGCUAAAUCUCUUAGAGAUUAGCUCUGAGAUGAUUCUAUGUCACCCCAAUUGAAAUAUGUUGUUGUGAAACUCUAUAUAUUGUGAAUAACAAUCUAGUUUUUAUUCAAUUCAAUUGUUCUUAAUGUUUUUUAUAUCAUGAUAAAAUAUAAACAUGAUUUCGUGAUAAUGAAUGACUACUGACCCUAGCUUUCAACUUAGACCUAAUUGAAUUGUUCAAAUAAACAUGGUUAGUCUAGGAAUGGAUAAUCUUUUAUUUGUGAUAUUAAGUUAACGUUCUUUAAAACCUUCAAAGAAUAUUAGACCACCUAAGGAAUUAGGGGCUGUAGUUUGAGAAGAGGGUCCUAUGUCAAGGGAUUGAUUAUGGCUAUUUUGUUAACCAUCGUGAAACUAGAGAAUCAUUCGUAAGAAAUAGGUGCAGUAUACCAAUUAGGGGGACUUAGAGGAUUCGAAAGACUUGAUCUCAUCUAUCUCCUUAUCUUUUCCAAAACUAUCUUUAUUUUCUGGUAAAUUAAUUUUAUACAAUCAAAUCUACUGCCUCAGACACCAAAAUAAUUUACACAUCCUAGAUAGUAACCUUAUUGCUAGACUGAGAUUAACACAAUCCUUGUGGAUACGAACGUAUAAAUUUUAUUACUUAAUUCAAUUCAUUUUUAGUACACUUGCUAAUAGUCUAUCAUCUAACAUUCAAAGAAAUUUUAUCGAGCCAUGGAUCUCUCCAAAACAGGGUAGAAUACCCAUCAUCCACCUCACAACCAAUAUUAUUGAGCAACCAACCCCCAUCUACGAAUCCAACACCCUCUCUAAUCUUAUUCACAUUCUCACAUCAAACAUAUCCUCUACCUCCCUCAAAACACGUUCCCCCUCCUUCCUCGCCAUACACAUCACAUUGUUGAAACAAAAAUCUUUUUGAUGAAUGUUUUAAUGAUAACAAACCUUAUGGAAUAAACACUAAGUUUUAUGAAUUGUGAUCUAUUGAUGUUUGCAUUUGAGUCUUUUCAAAGAAGUUGACAAGAAAGAAGUCUCUGACAAGUGCAUAUAUAUACUCAUUGAAAGAAUACCAAAAUAGUAGUAUCACAAGCUCAAAGAAGAUAUAAAAAGAAUAUUGUUUGAAUCAAAUGAGUGUUGAUUGAAGAUUCAACAAGAAGAUGAAUUUUAUGAUCAAUUGACUCAUCCUUGUCACCACUUGGUUUUCAACAGAGCCUUAAAGAUUCGAGGAAUAAAGAGUUAAUAUUUGAAAGGAAUGAUCUUCAAAUGAGUAUUAUGUUGUCCAUUUUGACAUCAUUAGAAUCUCAUAUAAAGACAUCAUAAGAAGGAGAAGAUCAUAAAGCUACUAACGAGCAACCUGCUUAAAAAGAUUAUGCUUAUUGAUGCUUGGAAUUCUCCAUCCAAAAGGGAAAAAAAUCCGAGAAAGAAAAACAUGUUUUUCUCAUUUAAUCUCAAAGGUACACUCAUUUAUAAGCUUUAUAAUAUCUGAAAAUUGAUAUGCAAUGUUUUGUUAUAAAUGAUUGGAUGCUCUUAGAAAUGCAUGAUAAAAUCAAUUCCAAAAAUAUGCGACUUUAAACCUUAGUUGUGAUUUGUGAUACAUGCAUCAAUCUAAUUCUUAGCCUAAAAUGAAAUAAAUCAUUCAUUAUUGGUUCCUACUCCUUUCAUGGAAAUAUAAUAUCCAUAAACAUUUUUAUAAUUCAGUUUUGAUGAUUAAAACUGUUGCAUAUGUAUUAUGUUUUGAGAAGACAUGUUAAAAAUGCAUUUAAUAUGAAUUUGUGUGUUCUAAAUUCAAUAAGGAGUUAAUGUUGUAUCAGGAGAAAUUUCUGCAUAAUAUUCCAUAAUUCUACACUCAGUUCUUCUGAGAUAUCUUUAUGAAUGGUAAAUGAUUCAACAUCAUUUUGACAAAAUUCAUCUCUCGUUAUUCUUAAUAAAAUCAUACUGAUGAUUCUUACAAUGCACUUUUAAGUAAGUUAUUGUCGUCAAAAGCAUUUUGAAUUAUUCUCAUUUUUAGUAGUUCAUCUAAAAUUUGUUCCUAAAAUGACAUAUCAUGAUAUGCCUUAGAAUUGGAUCAUAAAAAUAUCUUAAUUAUAAAAUUUGAUAACCGUAUGAAAUUUGAUGAUGUACAUGAAAUUUAUUCUAGUUUACUCAUUAAAUAUUCAUUUCUUGAUUCUUAAAUGAUAUAUUUUCAAUAUGGUUUUUGAAAAUAUUUUAAUAUGAAUUAUGAUAAUUCCAUUCUCCAAUCAUGUUUUUAAAUGGAUCCGAAAUUAGGAUUGAUCUUUGAAAGAUUUUCAAAAGAAACACAUCUUUUUUUUCUUGAACUUUUUAAAGUGUUGAGAAUGUUCUCAUCACAAUGAACAAUUAAAUUUUUGCAUCUAAAAGCCAAAUGAAUUAACACUCGUGUAAGUUUAUUUUUUUGGCAAUGCUUUAAAUGAAUAUUGAUAGCAUUGUUGAUCAAUAUAUUGUUAUGUGAAUGUCUUUCUAUAUCUUUUAUAGAAAAUAUGUUCCUGAUCAUUAAAUAAAUACUCUUAGUCUCUUAAUCAUAAUGCAUGAUAAACCUGAGAUUUAGAACAAGAAAAAUGUUAUAAUAUAAUGUUUUUGAUAAAACAAUAUAUGUCUGCCAUUUGUUUUUCUUACAUAUGUAUUUUCAUAAUUGAUUUGUAAUGACUUAUAUAAAAUCAUAUUCAAUUUCUUUCAUUAUGAAUAUUCUAAUUGAGGUAUAUCGUUGAAAGAAUUUCAACAACAAAAGAUCAUAUUACUGUUUAACAAGAGAAUAAUUUGUGUGACUUGUUUAAAAUUGAUCUAAAAAGGGAUUUACACAUUUCGUUCCUUAGCUAAUAUUAAACAUGUUCUUAUCAUGAAGUUUUGUUGAAUCAUUGUUGAAUGUAUACCUUAUUGCACUUGCAAAAUUUGCAGACAAAAAUAGAGAUAUAAACAUCAAUGACACAUCAAUAUAUAUUUGUGCAUAAAUAUGUUGCAUAAAUACUUUUCUUCUAAAUACUUGUGGAAAACAUGUAAUUGAUUUAUAUUAUAAUGAACAAAUCAUCUUGCAUAGAAUUAUCAUUUAAAGAUGUUUAUCCGAAAAAAUUCAGAAAUACCUUCAUCAUGAAAAUCUUUUGAAGAGAGAAUUUUUUUUUUUUUUUGUCAUUGUGUCAAAUGACUCUUAUUUUAUCGCUUCCACUAAAUGAAUAAUUUUCUCUCUAUUUCAAACAUUGUUGAACAUGACUAAGUAGUCAUAAUUACCAUUAUUCAUGUUUUAUAAUAAACUAAAAUGAAUAUUAAUCAUGAUACAUGCUUGAUUAAGUUUGAUGUGACAAUAUGACUUCUCAAAAACAUGAUUCUUAUGGGCAAUAUCUAUUUUUUUUUUUUUUAAUAUUCAUACCCAAUACUUUUUGAUAGAUUCCAAAAGAGGGAGAUAUAUAUAUAAUGAGAGAGAAACAUAGGAUGAGGAGAAAAAUCCAAGAUGGAUUUAAUCAAUGAAGAAUGUAAAGAAUUAACCUCUUGCAUAUGUUUAUGGGGAGUUUAAUUAGAAUGAUAAGAAUUAAACUCUUGCACGUGUUUAGGGGGAGCUUAAUUUCAUAUCUAUGAACAUUCUUACAUUUCUUAUUAUACACAUCCAUAAAACUUAAGAGUUAUUCAAAAGAGGUUUGUCAUCAUCAAAAAGGGGGAGAUUGUGGAAAUAAAAAUCUUUUUGAUGAAUGUUUUAAUGAUAACAAAUCUUAUGGAAUAAACACGAAGUUUUAUGAAUUGUGAUCUACUGAUGUUUGCACUUGAGUCUUUUCACAGAAGUUGACAAGAAAGAAGUCCCUGACAAGUGCAUAUAUAUACUCAUUGAAAGAAUACCAAAAUAGUAGUAUCACAAGCUCAAAGAAGAUAUAAAAAGAAUAUUGUUUGAAUCAAAUGAGUGUUGAUUGAAGAUUCAACAAGAAGAUGAAUUUUAUGAUCAAUUGACUCAUCCUCGUCACGACAUGGUUUUCAACAAAGCCUUAAAGAUUCGAGGAAUAAAGAGUUAAUAUUUGAAAGGAAUGAUCUUCAAAUAGCUUCUAAAAGAGUUUAAGGAAAAGGCACAAAAGUUUCAUUCAAGAGAAUGAUUCAAUGUACCUUCAUGAUUACAUGCAUGCCUAAACUAAAACAUCUCAAAGAUACUCAAUGGACAAGAUACAUUGUGUGCAAUCACCAAGAGGAAUUAUGUGAUAAAUUGCAUCAUCAACAAAAUAAUUCAAGGUUAAUUAAUCAAGAAGGUAUUAUCAUCUUAUAUAGAAGAGAACAUCAUCAACUCUGAUGAAAGAACGUUCUCAUAAAGAGGAUGCCUCUUACACUCGAGAUUAUUCUCAUCAUUUGAUUAAAAGGAUUAGAAUCAACUUUGAAGAGAAACCAAUUCAUGAAUGAAUUAUUUAUUAAGUCACUCAUUAAUGAUAUUGAUUGGAAAAAUAUCAAAGAAGAAAAUUCAUGAUCAUAUGCUUGAAGAUUCUAUCAUAAAAGAUUUAAGAUGAUCGAAGAAUCUUCCAUCAUUUUUUAAGAUAUGGUUGGGAGAAUAGAAAUCAAUCAAAGGAAUAUUUACUUUGAGAAAGGUUUCUCACGUUCUUACAAAGAACAUUAUGGUUAUACAAAGUGAAGAGAACAUCCCCACUCGAUGUUUUUAAAGAUAACACAUGUGUUAUUCUUCUUUCUCUCUCCCUCCCUCCCUCUAUCUUUUAUUUUUAGACAAUAUGCACACACCAUCACACACAUUAAUAUUUAUUUAUCUUCAGAAUAUUCUGGUCCUAAUUAAUCAAAACCAAAUUAAUUCAGAGUUCUCUGGUCCUUAAAUAACCAUUAAUAUUAUUUUAUCAUUCAGCUUAAUAAUUAAUUAUAAUUGCUUUAUAUUUAUCCAGAGUUCUCUGGUCCUUAAUUAACCAUAAUAUUAUUUUAUCCGUUAGUUUCAAUAAUUAAUCUUAUAAUUGUUAUCCAGAACAUUCUGAUCCUAAUACAACUGCUUAAUAUUUAUAUUCUUCCAGAGUUCUUAGGUCCCAGGUAAUUAUUAAUAUUGUUUUAUUAUUUUAGUCUCUUUAUUAAUUAUAUAAUUAUUAUCUAUAACCAUUGGCGGAGCCAUGUAUAAGUGAGGGGAUGCAGCUGGGCUUUUAAAUUUUGCACAUGAUGGCACUGUUUUCAUGCUACUUGAACCUACUGAUAUUUUAACAUUGCACCACCUGACCCAAAGAUUUUGCACUAAUAAGUAAUAAUCCAAGUUUUCCUCACCUUAUAAAUGACCCAAGUCUCACUUUUAUGUUGGCACAACAAUGUUUGAUUCAACGAGAAAUAAUUAACUUGCUUUUCAAUAUACUCUAUUUGGUUUUUCCUAUUACAUUUGUUUCCUUUGAUUUUGUUAUUUUUGGUAAUAUUUUCUUAUUAAUAAUUGUAAUAAUUGAAUUCCUUUUAAAGUAAUAUAUAUUACUUAAUAUUUUAUAUUCUUUCAUAGCUUAAUACUCCCACCAUCCUAAAUUUUAACAAAAAAAAUUCACUUUCUUUGUCCCAAAUUAUAAAUGAAAAAGACAAAUUUUUAUCCUAUUUAAUUAUGUUGGUUUCAAAAGUCAUCUUUUCCAAACAAAAAAAAAAAAAAACGCUAGGUGUACUCAAUUUACUCUCCCUCCCAUUUUCUCCGUAACCAAUAACCUAUGCAAAUUAUGUUUACUUCUUCCCGUGAAACUUAUCUCAAGAACACAAAAAGUUAUACACCGAAUUAUUAUGCUUUAGAAUUAUAAAUUUAAAAUCUACACAAAUUCUAAUUUUCAUUUGAUAGAUUUUGAAAUUUUUAAUUUGUACAAAAAUAUUGAAAAUAUAAAUAAAAUUAAACAUUUAUGCAAAAAAUUAGAUAUUUGAUUGGAAAAAAUGACGAAAUUUAUAAAUGUAGUAGUAUAAAUAAAUGAUAAUUAAAAGAGAAAAUAAUUGCACAAAAUUUUGCUAUCACUAAUGAAGUUGAAAGCUCGAACCCCCUACUCCAGGGUUCUGGCUCCGCCACUGUCCAGAACAUUCUGGUCCUUAGUAAAACUGCUUAAUUAUUUAAACCUUACUCUAUAUAUCCAGAACAUUAUGGUCCUUGAUAAAACAAUUGUUUAAAUAUCUAAAUAUUUUAUAAUCUUCUUUUAUCUAACAUUUAUCAAGAAUUUUCUUGAGUACAUAAACUUGUUAAGUUUCAGGAUUAAAAUUAAAAAGGGUCACAAUUAAACCCCCCUUUCUUGUGACUAUUUCUUCCACUUCAAUUGACAUCAGAGCGCUGCCUCUAAGGGGUUAGCACUUAACAGUGCUAGAGGAAAAGAUUCGGGAAGAAGUGAUGUUAAAACUUGCAAAUCAAAGUUUAUGCCAUAGAUGGAACAAGUCUAUAUAUGUCAAAAUUGAAUGUCCUCUAAACAAAGAAGAACAAAGAAGAUUCAUUUACAAAAAGAAAUCUACUAUGGAAAUUCUAGUUAACUUUGAUAACUCAAAAAUAGAAGAACAAAUCAACAUGUGUCUAAUGACAAGCAACGAAAAAGAGAUUUGAGCAAAUUCUCCGUAAGUAUGAAUAUUUUAUUUAAGAUUGUAAAGGAAGAAAUUGCAUUUUUAUGAUUUUAGGAUUAAUAUGUCUUUACCCUUUUGUAAUAUAGGUUAUUUCCGGUUUUUCCACCUGUAAAAUAUUUUUUUUUUAUUUACCCCCCUGUAACUUUUGUUUUGUUUUGAUUUACCCCCCUAAUAAGGCCAAACAAAAACGAAAAAUUCUUGAAAAAAUAAAAUUAAAAUAAAAUAAAAUAAAAUAAAAUAAAAACCGAAAAUGACCUAUAUUAUGGGGGUAAAGACUUAUUAACCCAUGAUUUUAUUUAAGGUUAGCUUUGGGUUCAAUGGUUCACUAUCUGCACCCAUUUGCCUUAAGAAAAACGAUAACUUUUUUUUUUGAACGAUUAAGAAAAACAAUAAUUUAUAGCAUCUUCAAUGAAGUAAACUAAAAUGAGUAAACUAUGUUGAUUUUUGUGGGGUCAAAUUGGUACGUAGGAUUUAACCAAUUUAUAGUUGAUCUAAAUAAUUUCUUUUAAGGCAUACAUCCAUUAUUUUUAAUGAUAGCCAUUGGUUAUUAUAAAUAACAAUGAUAUAAUAAAUAACAAAAUGAUGACUGUAGCAGAUAUGAAUGCUUUAGGAUGGGGAGUAAACGGUGAGACGAGGAAGUAGCGAAGGAGGUUGUUUGCUUGAGAGGAGAAGUUGGUGGGGGAUUGUGUUGAGCGAUUAACUUAAGUUGUUUUGCUGGUUGAGGUGUGAGAUCGAUGAGUUUGGAAGUUACAUUCCUCCCAAUAUUAUACGGCCGACAAUGCUUAUAACAACUUGACUGAAGUGGAAGACAAUACCUAUAUGGAUAACAUCCAUUAUUUACAUAUCCAUUCCUCAAAUUGAUAUGGCUCACGUGUGUCCGGGUCAUUUGGAAGGAAAUGAAUAACAUAUUUUUUAGGCUUACGUAGCAGUUUUCACCCCCAUAACUUUCACGAAGUUGCGAUUUUCGCCCCCUAAGAAAAAACUACAAAACCGUCCCCUAAGUUUUGCAACUGUAGCAGUUUUGGUCCCCAAGGCCAAUUUUUGGUAAAAAAAAAAAAAGUAACACGUGGCACGUCAGCGUAGAAUGAGUCAAAAUUGGCCUUGGGGGCCAAAACUGCCACAUAUGAAAAACUUAGGGGGCGGUUUUGUAGUUUUUUUUCUUAGGGGGGCCAAAAUUGCAACUUUGAGAAAGUUAGGAGGUUAAAACUGCUAUUAAGCCUAAUUUUUAAUCAGAAAGGUAUUGGCUCCAAAACAAAUAACAAAACAAGGUAAAAAUGUUAUCUUUCUAGUGGUUGAAGGCGGAUCUCAUUACUUUCGCAUUUAACUAUCAUGACUGGUGGAGACAUUUAUUUUCUUGUCUGGGUCUAUUGUAAUUGCUAUAUGUUUUUUCCUUGAUUUUUCGCGCAACUCUUUUAUGAGAUAUUUGUAAAUGUCUUGUAAAAACUUUUGGAUGAUUCUUCUUUUGCACGUCUUGUGCGUGAUGAAUCUCUGAUUGAUAUAAUAUAUUGCAUUUUGGGUUGUUAAAAAAAAAAUUAAAUAACAAUGAUAUAAAAUAAGCACACCUGACUAGUGUAGCAUAUGAUAACAAGUUUUUUUUUUGAAAAAAUCAAAAUGGAAUAUAUUACUCAAAAACAGAGUGAUUCACCCCGCACAAGGUGUGCUAAAAUGAUGAAUCCUCUAAUACCUGUUACAACACCACAACACCUAAAGAAAAAAGAUGCCACCACCUAAACAAAAAGGUCCAAACACUUAAAUCACACCCAUACAAAAAAGGGGAUGUCUCCACCAAUCGUAAAAGCCAAAAGCAAUAGGCUCAAUAUUCGAAGAAAGCCAGAGAAAAGAAUUUAACUUAACUUUUUCGACAAUAUGUAACGGAUCAAUAACCGUAUUAUUGAAAACACGGCUGUUUCGCUCCUUCCAUAUUGCCCAAACACAAGCAAGCCAAGUAACCUUAAAAAACACAUGAGUAGAUCUAGGCAAACCCGCCAAAUGAGUAAACUGAAUGUAAUGAUCCUUAAUAGAACCUGGAGGAACAAAAGAAAACCAAGCCAGUGACAAAGUAAAACCCAGACAAUUCCAAAAUAUUCACCUCCAAUGAAGAGAUGACCCAUCGUUUCGGAUAGACCACACCCUCCAACACAUAAAUUGUCGUUUGGUUGAAGAAUGAGACGACGCACCAAGUUUGCUCUUGUAGGAAUUCUGUCUUGAAACAACCGCCAAGCAAAAAACGACACUUUUGUCGGAACCAAUUUGUGCCACACGUCAAGAAAAGCAUCAUUAGCCACCUGUUCUUCAGAAUUUGUGAGAAAACGAUAAGUCCCACCAACACUAUAACCAUGAACAGGAUCUAGUAACCACCGCCAACGGUCCUGAAUAUGAACCUGCAAAACAACGUUAUCCAGUAAAGUGAUACACUCCCUCAUACUCUCCUCCUCCCAAGCUAACAACCGCCGUCUCCAAACCCACCCAUUUCCGCCCUCAACCCACCCCCAACGCUCCAUGUCUGCCACCGAACAUUCCUUAUGCACCGCUAAAUCAUAAAGACGACUAAAUUGAAUCUUUAAAGGUACUCCGCCUAGCCAUUUAUCAAUCCAAAAGAAAGUACUACUACCAUUUCCAACCUCCCUCAUAACAUUAACAUCAAACCAGUUACCUACUCCCGAGCCUACUCCUUCCCUCACCUUGCACAACAUACUCCACCAACCGGACACAUCUCUCCCUCCUUCCUGAAUUCUACCACCAACCUCCCCAUACUGUGCCUUUAAGACACGAUACCACAAGCCUUCUUUGUCAAUCAACAACCUCCAACACCAUUUCCCUAACAAAGAUAAAUUAAAUUCACCUAACCUCCGCACCCCCAAACCACCGCGAUUCACAGGUAAACAAAUAGAAUCCCAUUUAAUCCAAGCAAUUUUUUUAGAGACCUCACAACCCCCGCAAAAAAAAAUUUAAAAAUAGAUUCAAUAGAAGAAAUUAUACCUGCAAGUGCCUUGAAAUAGGAAAGAAAGUAAACCGGAAGAGAGGACAGGGCAGAUUUCAGAAGAACUAAGCGACCACCAAGCGAUAGAAAUUUAUUAUUCCACGACGACAAUCUAGCAACAAUUCGGUCCACCACCGGUUGCCAGAAACCGAGUCUUCUACUAUCUCCGCCUAUAGGUAAUCCUAAGUACAAAAACGGAAUUGUACCAGUUUUACAGUUCAACACCGAAGCCGCUUCCGUCAACCAAUUAUGAGAAAUGUUAACACUUGUCAACACGCUUUUAUUAAAAUUUACCUUCAACCCGAACACCUCUUCAAGUAAUAAUAAUACCGCCCGAAUGGUACGAACAUUCAACCAACAUUUUUCUCCAAUAAUGAUAGUGUCAUCAGCAAACUGUAGGUGAAAAAUUUUAAUUUCACUUUGAGGUCCGACACCAUAAGCAUUAAAUAAAUUUGACGACACUGAAGCCUUCAUCAAAACAUCAAAACCUUCGGCUGCUAGUAGAAAUAAAAAAGGCGAUAAAGGGUCCCCCUGUCUAAGCCCCCUCUGAAUAGGAAACUCAUCUCUCGGGCACCCAUUGACAAGGGCCGAAGCAGUAGCUGUUCCAACACAUUCCAUUAUCCACUUCCGCCAAAGAGUCGGAAAAUUCAUAUUAAGCAUCACAAAAUUCAGAUAAUUAAGAUCAACCGAGUCAUAAGCCUUUUCGAAAUCAACUUUGAACAAUAAUAAAUUUUUCUUCAAACGCUUUGCUUCAUCGACUACCUCAUUUGCAAUAAGAAUGCCAUCAAGAAUUUGUUUGCCUCUCACAAAAGCGGAUUGAUUAUCAGACACCACAUAACUCAAAAUAGACCGUAGUCGAUUUGCAAGAACCUUUGCCAACACUUUAUACAUACAACCAACAAGAGAAAUAGGUCGAAAAUCACCAAGCUUCUGUGGACUAGCCACCUUCGGAAUUAGAGCAAUAAAAGUGGAGUUAACACCCUUCGUCAACUUCCCAUUACGAUGAAAAUCGAGAAGAAAUUUCAUAAAAUCAUCUUUCAACUCAUUCCAAAAAUCUUUAAUAAAACCAAGAUUAAUACCAUCCGGCCCGGGACUUUUGAAGCUCUCACAAUCCCACACCGCCUGUUUAACUUCAUCAAGAGAAAAAGGACGAAUUAAACUACCUGAUUGAGCAUAAGACAACUUCCGAAAAUUUAAACCUUGAAUUCCAGGUCGAGUACCCUCUAAAGCGCGGAAAUGAGUGGAAAAAUGAUUAAGGGCAGCCGCACGAAUGUUCUGAACCCCUUCGACAAGAACUCCAUCAACAUGAAUCAAGUGAAGAUAAUUUCGACGCUGUCUAUUGGACAUCAUAUUAUGAAAGAAUUUAGAAUUUGCAUUACCUUCUCUAACCCAAUUCAUCCUCGCCUUCUGCCAAUUCAUACUAGUAUGCACACGAGACAAAGAAUGCAAUUUGACAGACAACUCACGAAUUUCCUGAGUUUCUUCUUCCAAUAAGUUAAUAGCAUCUUUGAUUUUAUUUGUCAAGAAAGUCGAGUAGAAAUGGAAGCUUCUUUGAAAAUGAUGUUGAAGAUGGUGGUAAUGUUUUUUGCUCUUGGUAAUUUUCAAAUUUGUAUAAUAAUUGUACUAGUAUUCAUUGACGAGUAUUAAUUUAAAAAUAUUCCAAGAACCAGGUGUUAUAUUGAAAAACCUCAAUGUUUAACUAAACGCUGUGAAACAAAAUUAUUAUUGGAAGGGUUAAUUAAGUUUUUGGUCCCUAUAAAUAUCUGCAGUUUUGUUUUUAGUCCAUUUAAAAAUAAAUCACACUUUUUAGUCCCUACAAAAUUUUCCAUUAAUGUUUUUAGUCCCUGUUAAAUUAAAAUUUGUUUAAUUAUGCUUAAAAUUUUAAAUUUUUUAAUGAUUUUUUACAUACUUGUUUAAAAUAUUAUAAAAAGUUCCGCAAAAAUAAAUUAGCUCAAAAUUUUAUUUUUAGGUCUAAAUUUUCGUUAGUUUUAUCUUGAAUUUUUGGCGUUUUAAAAAAAUUAUAUUUAAUUCAUUACAUGUUAAAAAAUUCUAUUUUUUUUAUAAAAGAGAUUAUUAUAAUGUUCUUAACAUGUAUGGAAAAAAUAUUUCAAAAAUUUAGAAAUUUAAGCAUAAUUAAACAAAUUUUAAUUUAACAGGGACUAAAAACACUAACAGAAAAUUUUGUAGGGACUACAAAGUGUGAUUUAUUUUUAUAAGGACUAAAAACAAAACUGCAGAUAUUUAUGGGGACCAAAAACUUAAUUAACCCUUAUAGGAAUAAUAAAUACUCAUAGAAUAAUAAUGAAAGACAAGAUGUUUUAAGAGAUUAUUAGUUUUUAGUUAGAUUAUGAUGCCUUAUCAAAUGAAACAUUUCAAUUGGCAAGACAACAAAAUCUAGCUCAUAACAACCUUUGAAUGUCUGAUGAGAAAUGAACCUUACAAUGCCAUCCAAACCUAGCUUAGUGAACACUCAUCACAAACAAAGCCUCAAAGACUCAAAGUUGUAUUGUAUUGGUCAAAAACAAUAACAACCCUUUAGUCAUUAAUAUAGAUGAAAAUGGAGAAAUCAUGUUUGGUGCUAUUCAUAUAAAGCCACUCCCAAAACACAAUAUGUUCUAUUUACCCUUCUUCAUAAGAUGAAAAGAGGUAGUUUACCUUUUAUAAAAGUUAUAUAAACCUCCUCACUAAGUCUUACCUCAAAUAUGUGUUUGGGUGAACCCACUUGGGUUGAUCCGUUGGUGUUUAGUUGAAACUUCGAAGGUACUUUACGUUUUUUAAAAUUUUGCAAAUCGGUCCUCAUAUUUUGAAAAUUUUCAAAUUAGUACCUAUAAAUUUUGAUUUUUUUUUAAUCAGUCUUAUAAAUUAAACAGAGCUGGAUGAAGUAGCUAAAAAAGGAAGAUAAAGAAUUCAAACAACCCAAUCUUUGAGAGGACAAAACCAAUGAAAAACAUGGCGAUGGAAUGAAAGAAAGUAAUUCCAAUGCUAUCCAUAGUAUCAUCUUUUUUCUUAUCACUAGCUUUUUCUUUUUUAGAAUAACUUACAUUAUUAUUUGAAUAUGAUAUCUAAUAGGGUGUGUGAAAAAAUCCUAAAACUUGUGAAAGAAAGUACAUCAAAGUUUAGAUAGAUUGUGUUCUACUUUAUAACCGAAGAGCACUAUAGUUGAACAGGAAAUAGUUUAGACCCAUUACUACAGUUUUCCUUAGCAAAAUAAUAUAACUAGUUGCAUUGGAUACUACCAUUCCAGUACAUAACACAAAAAAUCCCCAUGGCCAUAAUCCGUGAGUAAUAUCUAUAACAACAUAAUAGUAUUCGGCCUCUGCACUAGAUCGAGAUAGAGUGUGUUGUCGUUUUACAAUCAUGACUAAUCAAAUUAGAAUGAUUGAUAUCCUCAAUAUCGAGAUAUGCACAUAAUAGUCUAAUACUACCUUCUCAUGUAUGCUGUUUCUCAACCACUUGAGAUAGCCACUGCUCUCUUCUUCUUGCUGUAUUUAGCUUGUUACUCAAUUGUAUUUUGCAUUUCUGAUUUCGAAGCACAAGCCCUAAAUGUUUUGCAUGCUUGAUUCCUAAUUUUCAUUUUCCAACUGUCAUGUCUGAUUGUGAUUUCAUUUAUCAAGUUAAACCAAAGGUUAAACACACUAUAAUUAGGGCUUACUUCUAGAGUGAUUAUCUACUACACACUAUAAUUGAUAACCUACUAUCAAUUUAUUUCCAGGGUGAUUAUAAACAGACAAUAAUUAGGGCUUACUUCUAGAGUGAUAAUCUACUGCACUGCACAACGAAUUGAAUAUAACGCAAGUUAUUCUUACUUAUUACCAUUUUGCAGAUGAUGGUGGUAAAAUGGAUAGCUUGACUAAUGCAGGUGUACAAUUAACCGUGACGACUGUUUUGGCCUGUGGUUUUGUUUGUAUUUUUAGAGUUUGGUUUUUAUACAAGUUUAAUUCAGAACUGGUACACAUGAAGGAGAGAAACUGUUAAUAUAAAAACAACAAUCAAAACUGAUGAAGCAUUGAAUCAGACACAAAUACCUAACACGACAUAAUCAUAUCGAUACCUAUAUUAUAAAAAUAUAGGACAACAACAUUCGUGUGUGUGUGUCUAUAUAUAUAUAUAUAUAUAUUCAUUUUAUGAGUGGAAACUAUUAUUUAUAAAAAGAGACGGAGGAAGUAAUAAUCAAGCAUGAAUAACCAAAGCUAUUAACAAGAGAAUUCAGACUAAAUUCCCUCAACAUACCAGCAGCAAACAUGAACCUAAUUCAUAACUAUGGCUUUAUUAAAAGGUUUCAAAACACUAUUAAGAAAACUGAAAUUAAUCCAUCUAAUAAAAAAAAACAAAAAAAAAAAAACUGAAAUCAAUCCAAUCUAAAUUAAUGUAUGACACCAUUCUCCUCAUUCAACUCUAGUCUAGAGCCAAUUCUUGUUUAUCUUUCCCUGCCACCAGUUGAGCUUUCUCACCCUUUUUCUUUGCUUCCUCCUCUUCCUUUUCCUUUGCAAUUUCAAGAUAUUGAAUCAAAUUCUUCAAGCAAGCCUCAACAUCUUCGGUGGUCGACUUUGGCAUCAAAUUCUCGGCAACAUCAGCUGGUGACAUAUUAGUCUCUCCCAACAACUUUUCAAUAAUUGGAAACAAAUCACCAUGAGACUCAACAUCCAAGUAGUUCUUAGCAAGAACCUUGAACGCUUGAUAGCUACAAUAGGACAUUUCUAUGUGUUUAUCCAUCCUUCCCCUCCUAAUUAGAGCAGGAUCAAGUUUGUCCACAAAAUUAGUUGUGAAAAUUAUGAUCCGUUCUCCUCCACAUGAUGACCAAAUUCCAUCAAUAGAAUUCAACAAACCCGAAAGAGUUACCUUGCUUUUCCUUUUCUCUUCUUCUUCAUCAUCAUCGUCGUCAUCAUCAUCUUCUUCUUCUUCUUCUUCACUUUUCUUAUCAGUUUUAUCUUUUUUCUCAUUCUUAUCAUUACGAUCUUUCUCCUUUUUCUUCUUCCUCUGACCGGUAAGCUCGAGAGAACAAUCAAUAUCUUCAAUAACGAUAACUGAUUUGCUCGACGUCUCAAUCAAAAGUCUUUUUAACUCAUUGUUAUCCUUGACAGUUGUUAAUUCAAGAUCAUACACGUCGUAGUUCAUGAAAUUUGCAAUAGCAGAUAUCAUGGUAGAUUUCCCAGUUCCUGGUGGACCAUAGAGUAGAUAACCCCGUUUCCAAGCCUUUCCAACUUUAGCAUAAUACUCUUUCCCUUUCUUGAAUUUAACAAGAUCGUUUAUGAUCUCUUCUUUCUUCUCCGGUUCCAUAGCAAGUGUUUCAAACCUUGCAGGGUGUGCAAAAUUUGUGUGACUCCACCCUGACAUCCACCAACAACCGCUAUUGUUGGUGUAAAGCUUUAGUCGCCUAUUCUUAAAUAUAAUAGCCUUUCCUUGUUCCAACACAUGUUGUAUGUAAGAGGAAGUAAUGAGAUCGCGAUGCCUUUUGUGGAAAGUUAGGGUUAAGUAUCUUACCACAUCGAAAUUAGGUCUUCCUGAAGAUGCUUUUCUUGUUGGAGCUUUGCUGUUUGAAGACCACCAAACUUUGACUCCAUUGAACUCAUCCUCAAUCUCUUCUUUGUCGUCCAUGCUAAGGACAAGCGGUGAUUGGCUAUCUUCCACAACUUCGGCUUUAAGUCUCUUGGCUCUUUGACUCGAGUUAGCACCAAGAUAUGUUUGGAUAAUUGUGUAAGUUUCGCUUUGUUUGAGACGCUCGCCCGAUGAUUCAUAAAAAGUUAUUUCGACGUAAGGGGACAUAAGGUCUGUAAAUUUGUUCAUGUGCUUUUCAACAAACUUAUGAAGAUCAGAUGGGCAGAAUUGCUCAUACAUGGCAUAAACAAAAACAUUAGGCUAGCCGCAAUUGAGCCUAAUUGUGACAAUAUUGACUCAGUCCAUAAUGAAAUCUGAGAUGAGAUCACUAGAGAAAACUAAUGAAGAAACAAGUUGAUAAAAUUCUUGCUAGUUAAGAUCCCCUUAUGGAAAAAACUAUUGCAAGAUUUGUUAACUCAUUGUGAUAGUAACACGACUAUUGUGAAAUCGAGAAUCGUUACUACAAUGGUAAGAGACGAUAAUUAAGGCACGAACAAAGAACAAUUAUAGCGCUAGCUACUCUUCAAUGGAGCGGUUAAAAUAGAUUUUGUACGUACUGAUGAUAAAUCAGCAAUUCCUUUGUCGAAAUGAUUAGCUAGAAAGAAUGUCUAAAACACAUCCAAUAGGAUGAAACUAAUGCCUAAAGAUAACACGAGUGAUGGUAAUUACCCAGCCUAUAUGACUGGAGAUCACAAAAAGAUAGGUUCAAUGGGUAAUAACAAGUCAUGUUGUGAUAGAACAUGCUAUGACAAAAUCUAGAAAAGUCUUAUUCCUGUAGCCAAAUGAGGAUGAGAUAAGAGAAACUCUAAAUGAUAUUAUUACCAUAUGUGGAUAGUAGUACAAAGCUACAAGAGUACUAAUGAACUCACCUAUACGAAUGUGGAAUAGAGGCCGGUUACUAUGGAAUUUUGAGGCAGAAUACCUAGAACGUUCGUCAAAUUGGGAUAAAUGUGCAGGGCCAUAAACACACGAGAAAUAAUAUUUGUACAACUAUCUUGUGACAACUAUUUCUCUCAUACUCAAAUGGUGUUCUUUUUCUCUCUCUUCCUUUCUCUCUCUCUCUCUCUCUCUCUCUCUCUCUCUCUCUAUUAUUUUUGACCAAUAAGAAAAGAGAGAAACAAAAUUGUCACCAAAGUUGUCAUUAAAUGGAUGUCCAAAUAUCAUUGCGUGCUGGUUCUGUGUCUAAGAUUGAGUUUAAUGCCACAAGCAACUCUAGUUAAUUGAAAUUUUACUCGUUAUGCAGAGGUUCAAGUUGUAGGCGACACCUUUGUUUAUUAGCAAUCUUAUAAAAACUUCUUUGACGUUAUUUCUGAAACUAUUUUAAAAUCCAAGUGGGGAUUGUUGGAACAUGUGUAAAAAUUGAGUUAAAAAACUAGACACAAAUUCUCACAUUUGGUAGAAUUAGUGUUGUGUGAAUUAAAAAAAAGUGGAAGUCCUACAUCGGAUGGUGCACACAUAAUAGUAGUAUAUAGUAGGGGUGUACCUCUAAAGGGGUACAUAAUUAUGUGAACAAAGUAAGCACUAGCGAAAUUUUUUUGAUAUAUAUUUUAUUAUUUGAAAAUGUUAACUUAAAUAAUUAAUUUAAUCAUUAUUAGAAAGUGUUUUCUUAGUCCUCAAGUUUUGCUAAAAUAUUUUAGAACGCAAUCUGAAAUAUUUUCGUAUUCAAUAUAAUAUAUUUUGGUAUUUAUAUGAAAUAUAUUUUUGUACUCAAUAGUAUAUUUUUGUACUCAAUUUGCAAUAUUUUUAUACUAGAUCUAAUAUGUGAAUUACUUGUUCCCAAAGUUGCACACAUACUAUUUGUGAAUUUUCUCUAUAAAUAGAGAGCUCACAUAGUUCAUUCCAUACACCGAAAAAUAUCUGAAACAUCGAAUCUUUUUCUUCGCUCUUCCACUUUGACUUGUGUUAACGAGUCUUUCUUCUCUUCAUCUAGUCCUUUUUCGGGGUAUAAUAUCCCUUGGAAUUAAGAACGGUUUUAUGAGCAUAGUCCCUCAAUAAUCUUUGUCCUUUCGGAAUAAAGAAUAUUUUUAAGAUCAUAAUCCCUUUUCUGGAAUAAUGUCCUUUUCAGAAUUAAGAAUGAUCUUAAAAUAAAAGUAUAUAUAAUCCAUUUUAUAUUUCCUUCCCUUGGAUAAAGUUAUAUGUUAGAAUGGUGAUAACACCAUAUUUGAGUGGUUGAAAUUUCAUAUUGAUAUUUGGAGAUGUUAAAAGUUAGAAUGGUGGUAACAUCAUAUUUGAGUGGUCACAAUACCAUAGUAGAGUGGUCAUAGUACCAUAAUUGAUUGGUUUCAGUACUAAAAUAUGAGUGGCCUUAGUAUCAUAUUGGAGGUGUAAUUUUCGAACGUUUUUUUUACAACAUAGUAGUUAAUCGUGCUGUUGUAGUUUAACUUGUUUUUAUAUAGUCUCCUUUGCAUUACUUUGGACAGUACCAUGGAAUGUCUUAAAGAGAGCGACAUGAUAGUGACUCAACCUAGUAACAACUUCAGUAGAUUUAUUUUUGGCAAAAUUACAAUUUUAGUCCCUUAACUUAAUUUCAGGUAACAGUUUGGUCCUUUAUCUGUUUUUUCAUUUCAAUUUAGUCCUUUUUGUCCAUUUUUAAUACAUUUUCAAGCUUCAAAUCUAAUAUUAUUAUCCAAACAUAAACGAGGAUCAUAGAUUUGAAGACUGAAAGACCAUAAGAAAAUUAAAUCAUGAAUUUUAAGCUUAAAAAUUCAUAUGAAAAUGGACAAAAAGGACCAAAUUGAAAUGAAAAAAUAUAUAGGACCAAACGGUUACCUGAAAUUAAGUUUAAGUGACUAAAAGUGUAACUUUGCUUUUAUUUUUUAAAAAUAGAAUUUAAAAAUUCAAAUAGAACGGUGUUCCGUUAAAUGUUAUUAAAUGUUAUUCUACAUCAUUAUAUAUGAUGUGUAAUAGUAAAAAAUAAGCUCUAAAUUGGGUUGUGUAAAAAAAAUAAGCCUUAAAAUAUUGUUUCAAUUAAAAUAUGAUGAAUACAAGUGUAUUUGAUAGGAUGCCCAAUCAGGUGCUAUAUCUAGAUGAAAUAAAAAGUACAUCAAAGUUUAGAUAACACUGAGCUCUAAAAGCAAUUAAAUGCAUGCAUGCAAGUAGAAUAGAAGCCAUCACCACAUUCUUCCUUAGCUAAGAAGCCCUCAUGAAAAUGCAUACAUCUUAUUUUAUUACAUACUAUAGAUCUCAAUGCUCCACCCAAUUAACACAAAGAAACAACACAAGAAUAGAACCAUCCAUCAAAUGCCAAUUUUUUUUUUUUUUUUGGCACUUUAAAAAAAACCCCAUAUGUCUUGUUUUGAUUUCACACGAAGAAGAGAUACUAUUAAUACAAAGACAACAUUCAAACAAUGAAGCAUUGAAUCCGACACAAACACCAAACACGACAUAAUCAUGUCGCUACCUAUAAUAUAAAAAAUAUAAGACAACGAGGCAUUCAUAUAUAUAUAAUUAAUUUUGUGUGUGGAACUUGGUAAGAGACGGAGGAGGUAUUAAUCAAGCAUGAACAACCAAAGCUAUUAACAACACAAUUCAGACAAAAUUCCCUCAACAUGCCCAAAGGCCAAACCUAAACAUUAUCUUUAAAUGUGUCAAUUCAAAAGCAGCACACAUGAACAUAGUUCAUAACUACAGUUUUAUUAAUUAAAAUGUUUCAAAACAUUACUAAGAAAACUGAAAUUAAUCCAACUAAAAAAAAACUGAAAUCAAUCCAAUCUAAAUUAAUGUAUGACAGCAUUCUCCCCAAUCAAAUUUUUAUUAAAAGGGUCUUAUUAACUAAUGUUCACGGGGAAUUCUUUAAGGAUUUCAAAUUUAGCAAUUAUUUUUUCAAAAAUAACUAUUACAAUUUACAAUGCAUUAAAUACACAAUUUUUCAUCAAAAAACUUACCAUUUAAAAUGUUUAAAGAGUGUCUCGGGGGCACUAGUUAACAUUUAAAAUGUUUGGAAAAUGUUAAGUAGUGCCCCCGGGGCACUGAUUAAGGAAUUAUAAAAGAAAAUGUUUUUUUUUUUUUUUUUUUUCCGAAAAUUAUGUAUUUUACUUUUUGAAACUUGAAAAAAUGUUGAUUUUAAUGUUGACUUUGCUUUUUCUUUCUAACUUUGGCUACUUAACUAAUACCCGGAGGCACCGGUUAACAUGACCCAAAAAAAUUCCUCAUAUUUUUCACUUGCCUCCUCCACCUAUUCAUCCUACAGUCUUGAGCCAAUUCUUGUUUAUCUUUCCCUGCCACCAGUUGAGCUUUCUCACCCUUUUUCUUUGCUUCCUCCUCUUCCUUUUCCUUUGCAAUUUCAAGAUAUUGAAUCAAAUUCUUCAAGCAAGCCUCAACAUCUUCGGUGGUCGACUUUGGCAUCAAAUUCUCGGCAACAUCAGCUGGUGACAUAUUAGUCUCUCCCAACAACUUUUCAAUAAUUGGAAACAAAUCACCAUGAGACUCAACAUCCAAGUAGUUCUUAGCAAGAACCUUGAAUGCUUGAUAUCUACAAUAGGACAUUUCUAUGUGUUUAUCCAUCCUUCCCCUCCUAAUUAGAGCAGGAUCAAGUUUGUCCACAAAAUUAGUUGUGAAAAUUAUGAUCCGUUCUCCUCCACAUGAUGACCAAAUUCCAUCAAUAGAAUUCAACAAACCCGAAAGAGUUACAUUGCUUUUCCUUUUCUCUUCUUCUUCUUCAUCAUCGUCGUCGUCAUCUUCAUCUUCUUCUUCACUUUUCUUAUCAGUUUUCUCUUUAUUCUCAUUUUUAUCAUUACGAUCUUUCUCCUUUUUCUUCUUCCUUUGACCGGUAAGCUCAAGAGAACAAUCAAUAUCUUCAAUAACGAUAACUGAUUUGCUCGACGUCUCAAUCAAAAGUGUUUUCAACUCAUUGUUAUCCUUGACAGUUGUUAAUUCAAGAUCAUAUACAUCGUAGUUCAUGAAAUUUGCAAUAGCAGAUAUCAUGGUAGAUUUCCCAGUUCCUGGUGGACCAUAGAGUAGAUAACCGCGUUUCCAAGCCUUUCCAACUUUAGCAUAAUACUCUUUCCCUUUCUUGAAUUUAACAAGAUCGUUUAUGAUCUCUUCUUUCUUCUCCGGUUCCAUAGCAAGUGUUUCAAACCUUGCAGGGUGCGCAAAAUUUGUGUGACUCCACCCCGACAUCCACCAACAACCGCUAUUGUUGGUGUAAAGCUUUAGUCGCCUAUUCUUAAAUAUAACAGCCUUUCCUUGGUCCAACACAUGUUGUAUGUAAGAGGAAGUAAUGAGAUCGCGAUGCCUUUUGUGGAAAGUUAGGGUUAAGUAUCUUACCACAUCGAAAUUAGGUCUUCCUGAAGAUGCUUUUCUUGUUGGAGCUUUGCUGUUUGAAGACCACCAAACUUUGACUCCAUUGAACUCAUCCUCAAUCUCUUCUUUGUCGUCCAUGCUAAGGACAAGCGGUGAUUGGCUAUCUUCCACAACUUCGGCUUUAAGUCUCUUGGCUCUUUGACUCGAGUUAGCACCAAGAUAUGUUUGGAUAAUUGUGUAAGUUUCGCUUUGUUUGAGACGCUCGUCCGAUGAUUCAUAAAAAGUUAUUUGGACGUUAAGGGGACAUAAGGUCUGUAAAUUUGUUCAUGUGCUUUUCAACAAACUUAUGAAGAUCAGAUGGGCAGAAUUGCUCAUACAUGGCAUAAAGAAACAUUAGGCUAGCGGCAAUUGAGCCUAAUUGUGACAAUAUUUCCCCAAUUCCCAUUGCCAUCUCUAAUACUUAGAAACUAUUGUGCCUAUUCUUAUGUUUUUUUUUGUGGGUGUUGGUUUAACCUAUAUGGUAUGAUUUUAUAAGGAGUAGUGAUUUAGGUUUUGUAUCUUGGCGACCAAGUUAUCUAGGAGACAUACGAUUUGUUGAUUUUGUGGGCGUGUUGAAAUUGGAAACUAGCAGCCAGAUUAAAAAGAAAAUAUAAAAACGAAAAAAAUAUAUUUUAUUUGUAUACUCAAUUAGGCAAAUAUAUCUAUUUAACUCCACCAAAAAUAAAAUAAAAAAUUUAAUUAAUAUAAUUUAAUGGUGUACAAUUAUUUUAUACUGUGAGAGAGUAUAUAUUAAUUAAACAAUAAAAUAAAAACUGUUUAAUUAAUUUGUAUCUCCAAUUUGUACAAUUAUUUUAGAUUGAGAGAGCAUAUUAAUUGUUUUUUGAGUAAAGGACAUCAAUUUAUUAAUUCAGAAGAGUAGUGAAAUUAUAAAUAAAAAUUGUCUCUGAAGCAUUACAUGCUAUUGAAAGAGUCAUGAGGUGCCUUAAAAAGACUAUGACUAUAUGCUUAUAUUAUGAAAUGUAUCCUAUUGUACUUGAAUGGUACAAUUAUACAAGAUGGAACAUUGAUAAUGUCUCUAUAGUUAGUAUUUUUAGAGUCACUUUUAAGUAGUUUUAAGUUAAAUUGAAUCAAUUCAAAGUGUGUUUUGGAGUCAAACUGAGAUAAAAAGGAUUUUAAAAAUAUUUAGUUGUGUUAAUUAUUUUUGUUAUUAAUUUUCACUAACUGGAUGAAUUCUUGGAGUUUUUGUUCUCUUAAUUUUUAGGUAAUAAAUUGAGCUGUUGGAGUGAAAAAAAAAAACCAACGAUCAUGUUCAACGCAUAAGCCAAAGAAGGGCUGAACUUGUUUCCAUAAGAAAAGUGCAGAACAAAUUUCAAUCAUGCUUAAUUCUAAUCUUAAAUUCACUAAGGAAUUAGGGAUUAUUUUAGGAUUAAUGAUUUUGUCACUAAGGAAUUAGGGCAAGAAUAAAUUAGAGAAUUCGGUAGUGAUACGAUAAGUCUAUUCAAUGGUCAUAUUCAAGUUGUUAACUCAAGAUAGUCAUCUGGUGAAACUCAUCCCUGACAAUCUUAUUAUUAUAGUUCAAUCCAAUUUUACUUUACUUAAUUUUCAUUAUUACAAUCACACAAAUUCAGUACCUUUUUGUUCAAUUAAGUCACAAAUAUUAUUCGACAGUAUAACGCGAUCCUCGAGUUCGACACUUGGUCUUACCGUUUUAAUUUUACUACUUGCACGAUUUCGUACACUUGCGAAAAUCGCUAUCAAAUUUUUGGCGCCGCUGCCGGGGAUUGCCAUAUCAUUGUUGAAUUUUAUUUUUGCUUAAUUUUAUUUUUUGCUCUGCAAUAAAAUUUUUGUUUUUAUUUUAUUUUUAUUUGUUUAGUUUUCUAAUGUCGAGUUCUAGUGAUUUUUUUCUUCUUUGUUGAGAUAAUUAACCACCACAUAGUAUGGAAGAAUUCGACGAUUAUCUUCUUUUACAACUUUUGGAUGAAACUGAGACUUGUCUUCUUUCUGCACAAUGUCGUAUACUUGAGGGGCAGAUCAUGAGAGAUGCAUUUGAAAAAGAUCUCCUUCAGGUUCUACCUCAUAGAUUUGAUUUUUGUAGCGAAGGACAUAUAAGUGACACUUUUGAUUAUUAUGUCCUACCAUCAAAAGGUGAAGAAUUAUUGGUCUUGGAAGCAGAAGAAGAUGAGUUUUUCAUGAAAAAGAUUAAUUUUAAGCAAAUGCUACCUACUCAAAUACUUCACAAAGAUUCAUAUGACAAGAUCUUUCGUUCCAAGGACGUUUUGAUUGAAUUCAUGAAUAAUAAUGAAGGUUCAAUCGAAAUAUUUGAGAGUCAAUGUGAAAGGUUAUUUGAGCGAGUGGUUGAGUUUGAGAAGUUUAAGAUUGGAGAUAAGUUCAGUGUUGUGGGAAAGAAAGAAGAUGAGGGAGAAUCAAUAAACAUUAAGGAUGGUAUAGUUGGUAAGGAUACUCAAAAGUCCCAACUUUGGGGGGAUUUAGAUGCCCAACCAAAUAUUCAUCAACAAAACAUUUCUCCAAUUUAUUUUAGCGACAAGGCAGGGGAAAAGGAAGAGAUUGAUGAUGUAACGCCCACUUUCGUUUAAUCGUUUAUUUAAUCGAGUUUAGGUGAUUAUAUUAUAAUUAUAUAAUAUAUGCAUGAUUUUGGUAUGUUUUGAUGAUUUAUGAUGUUUUGAUCGAUGACGUGAUGAGUUAUGAGUUUUGGAGGAUUUGAUAAGGAUAUGAGAAUUAUUUUAUUGUUAAAUAAAAUAAAGAUUUAAAAAUAAUAUAAAAUAUUUAGUUGAGUGCUGUUUUGAUAUUUUAGAUAGUUUUGGGGGAGAAAGUGAGAUAAGAUAAGUAAUUAAGAAGAGGUAUAUAAAGGUUAGACCUAGUUUUAGAAAAACAUUGUACGAACGACUGUUUUGGAGAAAAAAGAGAAAAGCUUAGAGAGGACCAAGAGACCAAGAGUGCUGCGAUUUUCUUCAAACAAGGUAAGGGUGAGACUAAUAAUUCAAUAACGUUGAUCGUUGUAAUUCUGAUGAUUAAUUGACAAAGUAAGGAUUGAUUUAGAAAAGUUUUGGAAUUAGGUCAAAACCUUAAAAAUUGAUGAUCAAACGGUAAAACUUGUUUAGAUUGAUGUAGAAACCGUCCUUUAACCUUAGAACAUGUUUAAGAUGGAUUAUGAAAUCAAAAUUAGGCUUUGAACCAUGUUGUGUGUUGGAUUUUUGAGAAAAACCCUAGUCUGCCCGUGCUUCUGUUCAUCGCUCGCCACGGCGAGUGAUGAGCCUCGCCUCGCGAGUGAUGAACUUCAUCGCUCGCCACGCGAGCCCUUCCCUUCGCCUCGCGAGUUGUUUAGUUCAACUCGCCAUGGCGAGCAAUCCCCUUCGCCUCGCGAGUUGUGUGAUGCAGCUCGCCACUGCGAGCCACCUUACUCGCCAUAGCGAGCCAAGGCAGAGUGUAUGUUAGAUUUCGUGUUUCGACCUUUUUAGUUGGACCUUGAGUGCCUUGAGUGCCUGAACAUACCUAGUAUUGAUUAGGAAUGAAUGUAGGAUCAGAGGGAACCCAGAACAACCUUAGUUUGGGAGUUGAGUGGUGCUCGCCAUGGCGAGUAAGUACUCUCGCCUCGCGAGUACAACCAGAAUGAACUUGUUUAUGUGUUUGUGCGAUCUGUGUCGCACUUGUUGAUCAAGAGUGAACCCCUAACUAGUAAUGAGACCUAGUGAUGUCGUUAAAUGCAGUCUGUAGAGUUGUUUAAGUCAUGAUAAUAUUAAUUGAACAUGAGCUAAUGUAAUGUACAUUUAUGCAAGAUAUGAAGAUUUGAUAAUGAUACAAUUUAUGUGCUAUUGAUAUAAUGAUAUCAUCUUGUUAUGUGACCUGUUUAUGCUGCUUCCGUUAUUUAACUAAGUGCAUAAGUAUAUGAUGAAGUUUAGCUCCAAAUUAUUGGAUGCAUAUUGAUAAGUUGAUUACGAUGUUUUGUUCAUAUGUGUCCAUGCAUAGCAUCUCAUUGAGCUUAGUCCUCACCACGAAUAUUAGGAGCUUUGUCCUCCGCACGUUUUAUAGGAGCUUUGUCCUCCGCACGAUUAAAGUAUAUUAAUACUUAUGAUGACGAUUGGUACCACAUGCAUAUAAGGAGUCUAAGAGCAUUGUCACAUUGUCAUGAUUAAGAUGCCUUGUUGAUAAUGAAUGAAUACGUGAUUAAGUGAUAAGUGUUUAUUGAUUAUGUUAUGUCGUUGAUAAUAAUUGGAUGUAUGAUUAUGUGAUAACUGUUUAGCAUUUAUGCAAAGUUAAUAAUGGAAUGAUUAUGAUGUUAAUUUAUGAUUCACGAUUACACUGAUUAAUGUUAUUUUAUUAUGAAAUCUCACCCCUUCUGCUUGAAAAUGUUGCCCUUCGUAUGGGUAACUUGCAGGUGAUCGUGCUUAGUGUGCAGUUGCCGUCGUGAGUGACCUUGCCUUCACUGUGUCGUCUAGGUCGCUCUGAUACGUAACGGGAUGGGGUUAAUGCUAUAACAUGCUUCAUUCUCUUACGUGAUUAAUAUGAUAUUUUUAUAAUGUUUAAGAUAUUGGUUAAAUUAUUAUUUAACUGUUGGAUUUACGUUAUAUGUGAUAUCCCGUUGUUUGAUGUUUACUCUGAUAAAUAUUAUGUUUUUAAAGAAGUUUUGCUAUUGGGAAAACGGGGUGUUACAAUUGGUAUCAGAGCAGGUCGGUCCGUCCGGUCAAUUAGAGAGUCGUGUUGAGUCUUAGUAAUAUUUAUAUUACUAUCUUAUGUUGUUAUUGCUACUUUUGUAGAAUAUCAGGAAUGGCCGGAAGAAACGAUGCUGCGUUAGCUGCUGCUCUACAAGUUGUUGCCCAAGCUGUGGGACAACAACCUAAUGCAAAUGCUGGUGCGAACGCUGAAGCUAGGAUGUUGGAGACGUUCAUGAAGAAGAACCCUCCGACUUUCAAAGGACGUUAUGACCCUGAUGGAGCCCAGACGUGGCUUAAGGAGAUUGAGAGGAUUUUCCGGGUUAUGCAGUGCAUUGAGGAUCAGAAAGUGCGGUUUGGUACUCAUCAGCUAGCCGAGGAAGCUGAUGACUGGUGGGUUGCUCUUCUGCCUACCCUUGGGCAGGAGGGAGCUGUUGUGACUUGGGCUGUUUUCAGGAGAGAGUUCCUGAGAAGAUACUUUCCAGAAGAUGUUCGCGGGAAGAAGGAGAUCGAGUUCCUUGAGUUGAAGCAAGGAAACAUGUCUGUGACAGAGUAUGCUGCCAAGUUCGUGGAGCUGUCGAAGUUCUACCCGCACUAUACUGCUGAGAAUGCUGAGUUCUCGAGAUGCAUCAAGUUCGAGAAUGGUUUGAGGCCCGACAUCAAGAGGGCGAUUGGAUACCAACAGCUUAGAGUUUUUCAGGAUUUGGUCAAUAGCUGCAGGAUCUAUGAAGAGGAUACCAAGGCUCACUACAAGAUAGUGAAUGAGAGGAAGGGCAAGGGACAACAGAGUCGUCCUAAGCUGUACAGUGCCCCUGCUGAUAAAGGGAAACAGAAGAUGGUCGAUGUUAGGCGGCCUAAGAAGAAGGAUGCUACAGAGAUUGUGUGUUUCAAUUGUGGUGGGAAAGGCCACAAAAGCAACGUCUGCCCUGAGGAAAUCAAGAAGUGUGUCCGGUGUGGCAAGAAAGGUCAUGUUGUAGCUGACUGCAAUUGUACGGACAUUGUGUGCUUUAAUUGCAAUGGAGAGGGUCACAUUAGUUCACAGUGUACUCAGCCUAAGAGGGCACCGACUACUGGUAGAGUCUUUGCUUUGACUGGUACUCAGACAGAGAACGAGGAUCGUUUGAUCAGAGGUACUUGCUAUAUUAAUAAUACUCCUUUAGUUGCUAUUAUUGAUACUGGUGCUACGCAUUGUUUUAUUGCUUUCGAUUGUGUUUCUGCUUUGGGUCUUGAUUUGUCUGAUAUGAAUGGAGAGAUGGUUGUCGAAACUCCAGCUAAGGGUUCGGUGACUACUUCUCUCGUAUGUUUGAAAUGUCCUUUGUCUAUGUUUGGUCGUGAUUUCGAAAUGGAUUUAGUUUGUCUACCUUUGAGCGGUAUGGAUGUGAUUCUGGGUAUGAACUGGUUAGAGUACAACCACGUUCUUAUUAAUUGUUUUAGCAAGUCAGUGCAUUUCUCUUCCGUCGAAGAGGAAAGUGGUGCAGAGUUUUUUAUCUACUAAGCAGCUGAAGCAACUAGAACGCGACGGUAUCUUGAUGUUUUCGUUAAUGGCUACGUUAUCUUUUGAGAAUCAAGCAGUGAUUGAUAGGUUACCGGUGGUGUGUGAUUUUCCUGAAGUUUUUCCAGAUGAGAUUCCUGAUGUGCCUCCAGAGAGAGAAGUUGAGUUUUCUAUUGAUCUUGUUCCUGGAACGAAGCCGGUCUCGAUGGCACCUUAUCGUAUGUCUGCUUCCGAGUUAUCUGAGUUGAAGAAACAGUUGGAGGACUUGCUUGAGAAGAAGUUUGUUAGACCAAGUGUUUCACCUUGGGGAGCACCGGUUUUGUUAGUAAAGAAGAAAGAUGGUAGUAUGCGGUUAUGUAUUGAUUAUCGGCAGUUGAACAAGGUAACUAUCAAGAAUAGGUAUCCACUUCCGAGAAUUGAUGAUUUGAUGGAUCAGUUAGUGGGUGCACGUGUUUUUAGCAAGAUUGAUUUGAGGUCGGGUUAUCACCAGAUUAAAGUAAAGGAUGAAGAUAUGCAGAAGACAGCUUUCAGAACGCGUUAUGGUCACUAUGAAUAUAAAGUUAUGCCUUUUGGUGUUACCAAUGCACCUGGAGUGUUUAUGGAGUAUAUGAAUCGCAUCUUCCAUGCAUUUUUGGAUCGGUUUGUGGUUAUGUUUAUCGACGAUAUUUUGAUUUACUCCAAGACUGAAGAAGAACAUGCUGAGCAUCUGAAGAUUGUUUUGCAAGUGUUGAAGGAGAAGAAGCUUUAUGCUAAAUUGUCUAAGUGUGAAUUUUGGUUGAAAGAAGUGAGUUUCCUUGGCCAUGUUAUUUCCGGAGAUGGUAUUGCUGUGGAUCCGUCUAAAGUCGAAGUUGUAUCGCAAUGGGAUACUCCUAAGUCCGUUACUGAGAUUAGAAGUUUCUUGGGUUUAGCUGGUUACUAUAGAAGGUUUAUUGAAGGGUUUUCUAAGUUAGCUCUUCCGCUAACGCAGUUGACUUGUAAAGGUAAAACUUUUGUGUGGGACGUCCAUUGUGAGAACAGUUUCAGUGAAUUGAAGAAGCGUUUGACGACUGCUCCAGUUUUGAUUUUGCCGAAGUCGGAUGAACCUUUUGUGGUGUAUUGUGAUGCGUCCAAGUUGGGUUUAGGAGGUGUACUUAUGCAAGAAGGUAAAGUGGUAGCUUAUGCUUCAAGACAGUUGAGAAUUCAUGAGAAGAAUUAUCCUACGCAUGAUCUCGAGUUAGCGGCCGUAGUCUUUGUAUUGAAGAUAUGGAGACAUUACUUGUAUGGUUCGAGAUUUGAGGUGUUUAGUGAUCACAAGAGUUUGAAGUAUUUGUUCGAUCAGAAGGAAUUGAAUAUGAGACAGCGAAGAUGGCUUGAAUUGUUGAAAGAUUAUGACUUUGGUUUGAAUUAUCAUCCAGGUAAAGCUAAUGUUGUCGCAGAUGCCUUGAGUAGGAAGACAUUGCAUAUGUCCGCUAUGAUGGUCAGAGAGUUCGAAUUGCUUGAACAGUUUAGAGAUAUGAGUUUGGUUUGCGAAUGGUCACCUCAGAGUGUGAAACUGGGUAUGCUGAAGAUUGAUAGUGAGUUUCUGAAAAAUAUCAAGGAAGCACAGAAAGUUGAUGUAAAGUUUGAGGACUUGUUGGUUGCUAGAGAUCAGACUGAAGACAAUGAUUUUAAAAUCGAUGAUCAAGGUGUGUUGAGAUUCCGAGGAAGAAUUUGUAUCCCAGACAAUGGAGAGAUUAAGAAGAUGAUUCUUGAAGAGAGUCAUAGAAGUAGCUUGAGUAUUCAUCCGGGAGCUACGAAGAUGUAUCAUGAUUUAAAGAAGAUUUUUUGGUGGUCUGGUUUGAAACGAGAUGUGGCACAGUUUGUGUAUUCCUGUUUAGUUUGUCAGAAGUCGAAAGUUGAGCAUCAGAAACCUGCUGGGAUGAUGGUGCCUUUAGACGUGCCAGAAUGGAAAUGGGAUAGUAUAUCCAUGGAUUUUGUGACGAGUUUGCCGAAUACUCCUAGAGGGAACGACGCAAUUUGGGUUAUUGUGGAUAGAUUGACGAAGUCGGCUCAUUUUCUACCGAUUAAUAUUAGUUUCCCUGUUGCCUAGUUGGCAGAGAUUUAUAUCAAGGAGAUUGUGAACUUGCAUGGUGUUCCUUCGAGCAUUGUGUCAGAUAGAGAUCCAAGAUUUACUUCUAGAUUUUGGAAAAGUUUGCAAGAGGCUUUGGGUUCGAAGUUGAGGUUGAGUUCGGCGUAUCAUCCGCAGACAGAUGGUCAGUCGGAGAGGACAAUUCAGUCGCUAGAGGAUUUGUUGAGAAUUUGUGUUCUUGAGCAAGGAGGAACUUGGGAUAGUCAUCUUCCGUUGAUCGAGUUCACAUACAAUAAUAGUUAUCAUUCAAGUAUUGGAAUGGCACCUUUCGAGGCUUUAUAUGGUCGGAGAUGCAGAACCCCGUUGUGCUGGUUUGAGUCGGGUGAAAGAGUGGUCUUAGGACCAGAGAUUGUUCAGCAAACUACUGAGAAAGUUCGGAUGAUCCAAGAGAAAAUGAAGGCGUCGCAGAAUCGACAAAAGAGUUAUCAUGAUAAGCGUAGAAAAGAUUUUGAGUUUCAAGAAGGAGACCACGAGUUUUUGAGAGUCACUCCUAUGACUGGUGUAGGACGUGCUUUGAAGUCAAAUAAGUUGACCCCGAAGUUCAUUGGUCCGUAUCAGAUAUUGGAAAGAGUUGGAACAGUGGCUUACCGAGUGGGUUUACCGCCGCAUCUUUCGAAUUUGCACAACGUUUUCCAUGUGUCGCAACUUCGAAAGUAUGUUCCGGAUCCAUCUCAUGUAAUCCAAAGUGACGAUGUGCAAGUUAGAGACAACCUUACGGUAGAGACUUUACCGGUGAGGAUUGAUGAUCGUAAAGUGAAGACGUUGAGAGGCAAGGAGAUACCUCUCGUGAGAGUCGUUUGGACGGGAGCGACUGGUGAAAGCUUGACGUGGGAGCUUGAGAGUAAGAUGCUGGAGUCUUAUCCAGAGUUGUUUGCUUGAGGUAAAUUUUCGAGGACGAAAAUCUUUUAAGUGGGGGAGAGUUGUAACGCCCACUUUCGUUUAAUCGUUUAUUUAAUCGAGUUUAGGUGAUUAUAUUAUAAUUAUAUAAUAUAUGCAUGAUUUUGGUAUGUUUUGAUGAUUUAUGAUGUUUUGAUCGAUGACGUGAUGAGUUAUGAGUUUUGGAAGAUUUGAUAAGGAUAUGAGAAUUAUUUUAUUGUUAAAUAAAAUAAAGAUUUGAAAAUAAUAUAAAAUAUUUAGUUGAGGGCUGUUUUGAUAUUUUAGAUAGUUUUGGGGGAGAAAGUGAGAUAAGAUAAGUAAUUAAGAAGAGGUAUAUAAAGGUUAGACCUAGUUUUAGAAAAACAUUGUACGAACGACUGUUUUGGAGAAAAAAGAGAAAAGCUUAGAGAGGACCAAGAGACCAAGAGUGCUGCGAUUUUCUUCAAACAAGGUAAGGGUGAGACUAAUAAUUCAAUAACGUUGAUCGUUGUAAUUUUGAUGAUUAAUUGACAAAGUAAGGAUUGAUUUAGAAAAGUUUUGGAAUUAGGUCAAAACCUUAAAAAUUGAUGAUCAAACGGUAAAACUUGUUUAGAUUGAUGUAGAAACCGUCCUUUAACCUUAGAACAUGUUUAAGAUGGAUUAUGAAAUCAAAAUUAGGCUUUGAACCAUGUUGUGUGUUGGAUUUUUGAGAAAAACCCUAGUCUGCCCGUGCUUCUGUUCAUCGCUCGCCACGGCGAGUGAUGAGCCUCACCUCGCGAGUGAUGAACUUCAUCGCUCGCCACGCGAGCCCUUCCCUUCGCCUCGCGAGUUGUUUAGUUCAACUCGCCAUGGCGAGCAAUCCCCUUCGCCUCGCGAGUUGUGUGAUGCAGCUCGCCACUGCGAGCCACCUUACUCGCCAUAGCGAGCUAAGGCAGAGUGUAUGUUAGAUUUCGUGUUUCGACCUUUUUAGUUGGACCUUGAGUGCCUUGAGUGCCUGAACAUACCUAGUAUUGAUUAGGAAUGAAUGUAGGAUCAGAGGGAACCCAGAACAACCUUAGUUUGGGAGUUGAGUGGUGCUCGCCAUGGCGAGUAAGUACUCUCGCCUCGCGAGUACAACCAGAAUGAACUUGUUUAUGUGUUUGUGCGAUCUGUGUCGCACUUGUUGAUCAAGAGUGAACCCCUAACUAGUAAUGAGACCUAGUGAUGUCGUUAAAUGCAGUCUGUAGAGUUGUUUAAGUCAUGAUAAUAUUAAUUGAACAUGAGCUAAUGUAAUGUACAUUUAUGCAAGAUAUGAAGAUUUGAUAAUGAUACAAUUUAUGUGCUAUUGAUAUAAUGAUAUCAUCUUGUUAUGUGACCUGUUUAUGCUGCUUCCGUUAUUUAACUAAGUGCAUAAGUAUAUGAUGAAGUUUAGCUCCAAAUUAUUGGAUGCAUAUUGAUAAGUUGAUUACGAUGUUUUGUUCAUAUGUGUCCAUGCAUAGCAUCUCAUUGAGCUUAGUCCUCACCACGAAUAUUAGGAGCUUUGUCCUCCGCACGUUUUAUAGGAGCUUUGUCCUCCGCACGAUUAAAGUAUAUUAAUACUUAUGAUGACGAUUGGUACCACAUGCAUAUAAGGAGUCUAAGAGCAUUGUCACAUUGUCAUGAUUAAGAUGCCUUGUUGAUAAUGAAUGAAUACGUGAUUAAGUGAUAAGUGUUUAUUGAUUAUGUUAUGUCGUUGAUAAUAAUUGGAUGUAUGAUUAUGUGAUAACUGUUUAGCAUUUAUGCAAAGUUAAUAAUGGAAUGAUUAUGAUGUUAAUUUAUGAUUCACGAUUACACUGAUUAAUGUUAUUUUAUUAUGAAAUCUCACCCCUUCUGCUUGAAAAUGUUGCCCUUCGUAUGGGUAACUUGCAGGUGAUCGUGCUUAGUGUGCAGUUGCCGUCGUGAGUGGCCUUGCCUUCACUGUGUCGUCUAGGUCGCUCUGAUACGUAACGGGAUGGGGUUAAUGCUAUAACAUGCUUCAUUCUCUUACGUGACUAAUAUGAUAUUUUUAUAAUGUUUAAGAUAUUGGUUAAAUUAUUAUUUAACUGUUGGAUUUACGUUAUAUGUGAUAUCCCGUUGUUUGAUGUUGACUCUGAUAAAUGUUAUGUUUUUAAAGAAGUUUUGAUAUUGGGAAAACGGGGUGUUACAGAUGAAGUCCUAGAUGCCAUUUAUGCCUUGUUCAUUGUUGUCCACUUGAAAAGGAUAUGGAAACAACAUCAUCUAUUUUUCAAGUUCAUGGAGUUCUUACCCAACAAAAGGAAGAAGAAGGAUGAUGAGUUCUUUGUAUGAUAUAUGCCACCUUAACAGUGGUUGAUGCGUCAAGCUAAUGACAUUAAAAAAGCGCUUAGUGGGAGGCAACCCACGUCAGUAAGCAAUUUUCUAUAUGUUUUUUUCUCUUUAUGUUUUUUUUUAUUGUUCUCAAAUAAAAAUUAUUAUCACAUAACCACUUAUUGGUUGCCACUCGUAGCAUUGAUUGUUGAGUUUGCAUGAAUAUUUUAACCUUUCCAUCUCAAAAAAAAAAAAAAUUGUUUUUGUCUCAGAGAAUUAUUCUGACCGCCAAGGCAGAAGGCUAGCUUACCGACAAACUUCAAGAGCAUAAUGGCUACGGGGCUUGCUGCAGAAGAUAUUCAUCAGAAUCACCAUCUCUUUUUCUAUAGCAUAACCGGUGAGAUUUGAGCCAAACAUUUUUCACUUUUUUCUAUAAUUCUUUCAUAUGUGAGUAUCCAUGUUUAAAUGUUAUUUUUCUAGAGCUUGCAUUGGUUCUCUACAGACUAUUGGUCGUAUUUUCAUACACACGAGGCAUUUGUUUGGUACUCUGAGCCUUUUCAAGCCACCCUUAUUAUUAUGAUUAUCCUUUGCUAACCCUUUUGAGCCUUCAUGCAAAAUUUUAUUUAUUGUUUUGGCGACGAACCAUGUCACAAGUUUUGAACCCACUAUAUUAUAUCUGUUUAAUUUCUUUGGAGUUAGAUAGAGUCAUUGUUUCUUGGUAUUGGUUUGAAACUAAGUUUGGGGUUGCUGUUGGAACCAACAACAUUUUAAAUUUGGAGUGAGUGCUAGUAGAACCUUGGUAAAAAAAUAAAAAACUGAAAGAAAAUUGGUAGACUUAAUAAUAAAAAUUGGUCUGCACAAAAAAAAAAAAAGUAAAUAAAUAAGAGCCAAAGCAUCAAAAAAAUUGGUCUCUUCAAAAAUGAAAAAAAAAAGAAGCAUUUCUACUAGUACUCAUGUUGUUUUGACAAAGAGAUUGAAAGUGAGUAGUACUUUAAUGUUUAGGGAUCCGUAGUGUAUCUAACUCCAAUUCUUUUGAUUAACCUACUUUUCCAAAUAUAUCCCACUUUAACCUAAGCCACGCUAUAACCUUGAAAGACCUUUAAAGUGUGUGUGAUUAUAUGACUUUGAAUGAUUGUUUAGAAUUUCUUCAAGUUCAUAGCAAAAUGCAUUAACAUGUUGAUUUGAGCGGGCAAAUGCCAUGACCAGCCCCACUGGCUUGAGAAUUGGUGAGGAAGAGAAUAGGAAGGAGAGUGUGGUUGAAAGCAUGAACUAUCUUCUCUAAGUUUGCCCCGCUUGAGCAAAAUUGGUAAGUUAGUCAACGCCGGAAGUGGAACGAAUGAGGAUCUGAGCACCCUCUCGGAAAGGUAUGCCAUUUUCAAAUUUGUGCAAUUUCUAACUUUUGUCUAUUUUGUUACUUGAGGACAAGCAACAUAUUAAGUUUGGGGUUGUGAUAAUGUCUCUAUAGUUAGUAUUUUUAGAGUCAUUUUUAAGUAGUUUUAAGUUAAAUUGAAUCAAUUCAAAGUGUGUUUUGGAGUCAAACUGAGAUAAAAAGGAUUUUAAAAAUAUUUAGUUGUGUUAAUUAUUUUUGUUAUUAAUUUUCACUAACUAGAUGAAUUUUUGGAGUUUUUGUUCUCUUAAUUUUUAGGUAAUAAAUUGAGUUGUUGGAGUGAAAAAAAAAAAACCAAAGAUCAUGUUCAACGCAUAAGCCAAAGAAGGGCUGAACUUGUUUCCAUAAGAAAAGUGCAGAACAAAUUUCAAUCAGCUUGAUGUGCGCCCCGCAUGUUAAAAUACACACAUAAGAUUUCUCUUCCUCAUAUUAGUUCCAACGUGGCACCACAUGAUAGGCUAUAAUGCACUCAUUUUAUUCAUGUGGUCCCACCACAACAAGUGACCUUGACAUGAAGAAAGAGAGCACGUGAUUGGAGGAGGGGAAUUAGGUUUCACUUGUUUUGGAAUAUAAAAAGGAGGCAGCUGCAACAAAUACAAGGGACUUUUGGGAACCAGAGAGAAGAAGCAGCGCAUGACAAUGGGAAAGGAAGGCAACGACAAUUAAAGGGAUCCGGAUAGAGAACGACGAUGCAGGGUGACGUUGGUCUUGUCGGAAAAUUUGUCCGGUUUAUUCUCUUUUCUUUGUUGUUUAUUUUCUUUAUCAUGAGUAGCUAAUUUUCAUGUUGUUAGGGAUGAGAGUAUCUAGAUGACAACUUUUGUUAUAUGAUUUUCUUUUGAUUAUUGAAGAAGUUUAUUGAAUCAUUUUUCUUAUCUCUAUUCUUAAUGCUUUUAUUGCUUGGCCGCCUUUAAAUUGAUAUACGGUUUAUAUUGUGAAACAGAAGUUGAAUGAAUUUAUAAACGCUUUCAGAUAAGAAAUUAUUGCCUUUGUAAUCUAGGAAUAGAUGCAAACCCUUGAAACCAAUUACGAAUUCUUGUUCAAUCAUGCUUAAUUCUAAUCUUAAAUUCACUAAGGAAUUAGGGAUUAUUUUAGGAUUAAUGAUUUUUUCACUAAGGAAUUAGGGCAAGAAUAAAUUAGAGAAUUCGGUAAUGAUACGAUAAGUCUAUUCAAUGGUCAUAUUCAAGUUGUUAACUCAAGAUAGUCAUCUGGUGAAACUCAUCCCUGACAAUCUUAUUAUUAUAGUUCAAUCCAAUUUUACUUUACUUAAUUUUCAUUAUUGCAAUCACACAAAUUCAGUACCUUUUUGUUCAAUUAAGUCACAAAUAUUAUUCGACAGUAUAACGCGAUCCUCGAGUUCGACACUCGGUCUUACCGUUUUAAUUUUACUACUUGCACGAUUUCGUACACUGGCGAAAAUCGCUAUCAAACAUCCUUUCAGACAAAUCCAAAGCGAUCAAUGGCUACACAUUUAGUAUCACUGGAGGAGUUGUUUCUUAGAAAAGAAGAAAUAUACAAUAUUGACUCAGUACAUAAUGAAAUUUGAGAUGAGAUCACUAGAGAAAACUAAUGAAGAAACAAGUUGGUAAAAUUCUUGCUAGUUGAGAUCCCCUUAUGGAAAAAACUAUUGCAAGUUGUGUUAACUCAUUGUGAUAGUAACACGACUAUUGUGAAAUCGAGAAUCGUUACUAUAAUGGUAAGAGACGAUAAUUAAGGCACGAACAAAGAACAAUUAUAGCGAUAGCUACUCUUCAAUGGAGCGGUUAAAGUGGAUUUUGUACUGAUGAUAAAUUAGCAAUUCCUUUGUCGAAAUGAUUAACUAGAAAGAAUGUUUGAAACACAUCCAAUAGGAUGAAACUAAUGCCUAAAGAUCACGAGUGAUGGUAAUUACCCAGCCUAUAUGACUGGAGAUCACAAAAAUAUAGGUUCAAUGGGUAAUAACAAGUCAUGUUGUGAUAGAACAUGCUAUGAUAAAAUCUAGAAAAGUCUGAUUCCUGUAGCCAAAUGAGGAUGAGAUAAGAGAAACUCUAAAUGAUAUCAUUACCAUAUGUGGAUUGUAGUACAAAGCUACAAGAGUACUAUUGAACUCACCUAUACGAAUGUGGAACACCGGCCGGUUACUAUGGGAUUUUGAGGCAGAAUACCUAGAACGUUCGUCAAAUUGGGAUAAACGUGCAGGGCCAUAAACACACGAGAAAUAAUAUUUGUACAACUAUCUUGUGACAACUAUUUCUCUCAUACUCAAAUGGUGUUCUUUUUCUCUCUCUUCCUCUCUCUCUCUCUCUCUCUCUCUCUCUCUUUCUCUCUCUCUCUCUCUCUAUUAUUUUUGACCAAUAAGAAGAGAGAGAAACAAAGUUGUCACCAAAGUUGUCAUUAAAUGGAUGUCCAAAUAUCAUUGCUCUAAACGCACAAGCUUUUAGAAUACACCAGAAAAAGGUUGCGUGCAGGUUCUGUGUCUAAGAUCGAGUUUAAUGCCACAAGCAACUCUAGUUAAUUGAAAUUUUACUCGCUAUGCAGAGGUUCAAGUUGUAGACGACACCUUUGUUUAUUAGCAAUCUUAUAAAAACAUCUUUGACGUUAUUUCUGAAACUAUUUUAAAAUCCAAGUGGGGAUUGUUGGAACAUGUGUAAAAAUUGAGUUAAAAAACUAGACACAAAUUCUCACAUUUGGUAGAACUAGUGUUGUGUGAAUUAAAAAAAAGUGGAAGUCCUACAUCGGAUGGUGCACACAUAAUAGUAGUAUAUAGUAGGGGUGUACCUCUAAAGGGGUACAUAAUUAUGUGAACAAAGUAAGCACUAGCGAAAUUUUUUUGAUAUAUAUUUUAUUAUUUGAAAAUGUUAACUUAAAUAAUUAAUUUAAUCAUUAUUAGAAAGUGCUUUUUUAGUCCUCAAGUUUUGCUAAAAUAUUUUAGAACGCAAUCUGAAAUAUUUUCGUAUUCAAUAUAAUAUAUUUCGGUAUUUAUAUGAAAUAUAUUUUUGUACUCAAUAGUAUACUUUUGUACUCAAUUUGCGAUAUUUUUAUACUAGAUCUAAUAUGUGAAUUACUUGUUCCCAAAUUUGCACACAUACUAUUUGUGAAUUUUCUCUAUAAAUUCAGAGCUCACAUAGUUCAUUCCAUACACCGAAAAAUAUUCUGAAACAUUGAAUCAUUUUCUUCGCUCUUCCACUUUGACUUGUGUUAACGAGUCUUUCUUCUCUUCAUCUAGUCCUUUUUCGGGGUAUAAUAUCCCUUGGAAUUAAGAACGGUUUUAUGAGCAUAGUCCCUCAAUAAUUUUUGUCCUUGCGGAAUAAAGAAUAUUUUUAAGAUCAUAGUCCCUUUUCUGGAAUAAUGUCCUGUUCAGAAUUAAGAAUGAUCUUAAAAUAAAAGUAUAUAUAAUCUCUUUUAUAUUUCCUUCCCUUGGAUAAAGUUAUAUGUUAGAAUGGUGAUACCACCAUAUUUGAGUGGUUGAAAUUUCAUAUUGGUAUUUGGAUUUGUUAAAAGUUAGAAUGGUGGUAACAUCAUAUUUGAGUGGUCACAAUACCAUAGUAGAGUGGUCAUAGCACCAUAAUUGAUUGGUUUCAGUACUAAAAUAUGAGUGGCCUUAGUAUCAUAUUGGAGGUGUAAUUUUCGAACGUUGUUUUUACAGCGUAGUAGUUAAUCGUGUUCUUGUAGUUUAACUUGUUUUAUAUAGUCUCCUUUGCAUUACUUUGGACAGUACCAUGGAAUGUCUUAAAGAGAGCGAUAUGGUCGUGACUCAACCUAGUAACAACUUCAGUAAAUUUAUUUUUGGCAAAAUUACAAUUUUAGUCCCUUAACUUAAUUUCAGGUAACAGUUUGGUCCUUUAUCUUUUUUUCAUUUCAAUUUAGUCAUUUUUGUCCAUUUUCAUAUACAUUUUCAAGCUUCAAAUCUAAUAUUCUUAUCCAAACAUAAACGAGGAUCAUAGAUUUGAAGACUGAAAGACCAUAAGAAAAUAAAAUCAUUAAUUUUAAGCUUAAAAAUUCAUAUGAAAAUGGAUAAAAAGGACCAAAUUAAAAUGAAAAAAAGAUAAAGGACCAAACUAUUACCUGAAAUUAAAUUAAGUGAUUAAAAAUGUAACUUUACCUUUAUUUUUUUAAAAUAGAAUUUAAAAAUUCAAAUACAACGGUGUUCCGUUAAAUGUUAUUAAAUGUUAUUCUACAUCAUUAUAUAUGAUGUGUAAUAGUAAAAAAUAAGCUCCAAAUUGGGUUGUGUAAAAAAAAUAAGCCUUAAAAUUUUGUUUCGAUUAAACUAUGACGAGUACAAGUGUAUUUGAUAGGAUGCCCAAUUUAGAGUAGAAGCCAUCACCACAUUCUUCCUUAGCUAAGAAGCCCUCAUGAAAAUGCAUACAUCUUAUUUUAUUACAUACUAUAGAUCUCAAUGCUCCACCCAAUUAACACAAAGAAACAACACAAGAAUAGAACCAUCCAUCACAUGCCAAUUUUUUUUUUUUUGGCACUUUAAAAAAAACCCCAUAUGUCUUGUUUUGAUUUCACACGAAGAAGAGAUACUAUUAAUACAAAGACAACAUUCAAACAAUGAAGCAUUGAAUCCGACACAAACACCGAACACAACAUAAUCAUGUCGCUACCUAUAAUAUAAAAAAUAUAAGACAACGACGCAUUCAUAUAUAUAAUUAAUUUUGUGUGUGGAACUUGGUAAGAGACGGAGGAGGUAUUAAUCAAGCAUGAACAACCAAAGCUAUUAACAACACAAUUCAGACAAAAUUCCCUCAACAUGCCCAAAGGCCAAACCUAAACAUUAUCUUUAAAUGUGUCAAUUCAAAAGCAGCACACAUGAACAUAGUUCAUAACUACAGUUUUAUUAAUUAAAAUGUUUCAAAACAUUACUAAGAAAACUGAAAUUAAUCCAACUAAAAAAAACUGAAAUCAAUCCAAUCUAAAUUAAUGUAGGACAGCAUUCUCCCCAAUCAAAUUUUUAUUAAAAGGGUCUUAUUAAUUAAUGUUCCCGGGAAUUCUUUAAGGAUUCCAAAUUUAGCAAUUGUUUUUUCAAAAAUAACUAUUACAAUUUACAAUGCAUUAAAUACACAAUUUUUCAUAAAAAAAAACUUACCAUUUAAAAUGUUUAAAGAGUGUCUUGGGGGCACUAGUUAACAUUUCCCUUAUUAAAAAAUUUGGAAAAUGUUAAGUAGUGCCCAGUGCCCCCGGAAAAUGUUUUUUUUCGAAAAUUAUGUAUUUUACUUUUUGAAACUUGAAAAAAAGUUGAUUUUAAUGUUGACUUUGCUUUUUCUUUCUAAUUUUGGCUACUUAACUAAUACCCGGAGGCACCGGUUAACAUGACCCAAAAAAGUUCCUCAUAUUUUUCACUUGCCUCCUCCACCUAUUCAUCCUAUAGUUUUGAGCCAAUUCUUGUUUAUCUUUCCCUGCCACCAGUUGAGCUUUCUCACCGUUUUUCUUUGCUUCCUCCUCUUCCUUUUCCUUUGCAAUUUCAAGAUAUUGAAUCAAAUUCUUCAAGCAAGACUCAGCAUCUUCGGUGGUCGACUUUGGCAUCAAAUUCUCGGCAACAUCAGCAGGUGACAUAUUAGUCUCUCCCAACAACUUUUCAAUAAUUGGAAACAAAUCACCAUGAGACUCAACAUCCAAGUAGUUCUUAGCAAGAACCUUGAACGCUUGAUAUCUACAAUAGGACAUUUCUAUGUGUUUAUCCAUCCUUCCCCUCCU
RNAcentral lists this long non-coding RNA (52045 nucleotides) under Medicago truncatula (barrel medic). Its description in RNAcentral is "long non-coding RNA (MTRU_LNC003802)". The stretch from base 8115 to 8304 matches the Rfam family "MIR2619 microRNA precursor family". Lineage: Eukaryota; Viridiplantae; Streptophyta; Magnoliopsida; Fabales; Fabaceae. The record is from RNAcentral.